GGGAGGCGGCGGGCGGGAGCGCAGGUCUGGCCGGCCCUGGCGAUGGCGGACGCGGCGGCCUCCCCGGUGGGCAAGCGGCUGCUGCUUCUGUUCGCGGACACCGCGGCCUCAGCUUCAGCCUCGGCCCCCGCGGCGGCGGUGGCGAGCGGAGAUCCGGGGCCUGCGCUGCGCACUCGGGCCUGGCGGGCCGGCACGGUGCGGGCCAUGAGCGGGGCGGUGCCCCAGGACCUAGCGGUGAGUGGCGGUCGAGACGUGCACUCGAGGCCGGGGCUGCAGGGCCUGUGGGCGGCCUCCCCGGGGGCCUUUGUGAGGGGGCGGUGUGGUGGGGGUGACCCAGUUCCUCACCCCCGGAUCUCCUUAGCGCCCCCCGCCGGCACUUCGGCACCCCGAGCUCUGGCCUGCAUGGCUUCCGCGUCGGGGUGCGCGCCCCAGUUAACCCCCGGAGGGCGGCCUGGGUGCCAGGAGCUGCUGCUUUUAGCCGGCAGGCCCCGCCUCCUGAGCGACCCUUUGCUAGGCGUCCCCUCCCCGCACCCCCCCUCCCGCAACACGCCUUCCGAGCAGGCUUUCGAACCUUGGUGCCGGGGCCCCGCAGAGUUCGGCCGGUGCUGCCGCUUUCCCCUAGAAAACGCGGACCUGUAAUCCCCAGGUUCUCCCCGGAGACCUGCGCCCUGUUCCCUUCCUCCCGGAGUCUCUAGUGGGGCGAGAAUGUGGGCAGUUGUAGGAAGGCAGUUGGAGCUGCUUGGGGCUUUUUUAUCUGGCAGUUACUUCCUCCUUGUCUGAGCCGUGCUGGGCCUGGCGCUCUUCAGAAAGACCAGCUCUCAGGACUGUUUAGAGCUCCCCUAUCUUUGCGCUUCUGGGUGACAGGAGCUGCUGUUGUGGCUUUUUGAUAAGUUUGAGAUCUGACUUAGUCGAAUGGGGCUGCAGGGUGGUGCUUUUUUGCUCCCAGCUUGUCUGUUCCCCCAACCUUGAGAGAGGUUUUGUUUUGAAACUUUGUCGGGGCUUGGCUGCUUUUGCACGCUUGCCUUCAUGUAUUUUGUGAUUAAAGUUGUUCAGCAAAAAACUUUGCCAGCAUUGGGGACCAUAAUGUGUUAGUUUUGUUAAUGUGGCGGCAAAAUACUGUCUUUGAGUUUUAGCCAACCUCAAUAGUUCCUCAUUCUGGUAGCGUAGCCCUAGCCUUCUCUGGUGAGAUAAGGCUAAGAAAAAUGGGGGCGGGGGACUUUUUGGAAUGUAAAGGAUCAACAAGCCGAAUGUAAAUGUUGAUGAAUUUCCUUCUGCAGACCUUUUCUUAGCUCUAAACGGGAACUCAUUUUGUGAGAGUGGGAGUAAUGUUUCUGAUGUUUUUCUAUUGAUCAACAGUGUUAAACUGUCUUUUAUUAUGAUACACAAGCUUUAUGGGUAGUUUUGCUUAGGUUUUGAUUCUGCUUCUUGAGUUCCCUUGCUUUGAUUUUUCUCCAUGCCCUAUAAGAAAGGCUGGUAGGGCAUUUAUGAAGCUUUAGUGGGGCGAAUUUGUAAAAAGAUACCAGGAAUAUAAGGGAGAGAGGGGGAUCCAUGGUUAAGACAGGAAUUUGGAUAUAAAUUCUUCUGUGCUUUCUUUAGAAGGUGACUGGGAUGGGGGAGAGGUAUGCUUCUUAGAUUCAGUAAUUCACCCUGGUAAGCAAAACGUACUUGAGUUUCACCCUUAUGUGCAUUCUUUGACCAGAGGCAUCCUCAGCUCUCUUUUCAGUUGGGAUUUUAUUUUCUAAUUCUUCCAAUGGUUGUUUCCUCCAUCAGUUGAAUUGCUAAUGAGCUCUGCACCUGAAAUGGCUGCCCAUUCACUUUGUUGUUUGCUGGGCUCCCUAAGGGCAGAGGUGUUUGAAGCUCAUUGAGAUGCUGGACAACAUCUAAGCUAAAUACUGAAUAAUUUUACCACUGGGCACGUGGAACUGGGUUAUCAAUCCGUAUUAAAAAAAGCAAAAUGUUCUUACAAACUGUUGAAUUCUUAUAUGAGGCCAUGAAUUUAGAAGCAAAGGCAAGUUUGAGUUUUGCAAAUACAUUUGUGCUUGUCUUGUACAUAUAUCCAAGGGGCGUUAAUGAGAAAACAGCCAUAACAAAACUCAGAGCCUUUUUAUUUUAUUUUAUUUUUACCAGCUUGCUACCCAAGAAUUGCUGUUAUGUUGAGGUCCUAUUAAUGACAGUGACUAGUAGAGGAUCAGAACUAGCAGUUUUGUUUUCCUUUUUCAUUGAAAUUUCCUUUGGACCCUGGGCAUGUGGACCUUUCCAAUUUGCACCACACACUGUAGUAAACACAACUAUCUUCCAAUCACAAGUGUUCUUCCUGUACUCAACGGUGGAGUUUGCAAGCAGCUGCCUCACGAUUGGACAGAUUUUCUUUCAGUUAUGUUUAAGAUGUUUUCAGGCAUGCUUGGUUUUGAGUAAUACAAGGCAGGGCGCCCCCUGUUAAGGAUGAGUAAUUGAGGGUUGGAUUGAAAUGAUUAAAAAACAUACUUUUCAAUUUUAAUCUCCAUUAAUAUCUUCUUCUAAAUACUUUUUGAUUCUAAAGUCAUUCAAAAUACUGAUAUAUUUAAAGAAACCUUUAUUGGGAAACAAUACCAAACCCAUGGGCUACCUUAAAUGUGAUGUGAAAAAAGUUAAUUCAGGAUGCUGUUGGUUGGGAAUUUUGUUGGUAAUGAUCUUAUAGAUGGCCCUCUUACCCAUUAAAUCUUUCCUGAGAAAUAACUAUUAAGAUUUUUAGCCAAAAAUAGAAAAACACCCCCCACCCAGUGGAAUAACAGCUUUGUUAUUAAAAUUAGGCCUUUUAUGUUUAAAAAGAGAAAAGUCCUGUUGCAGAAAUAAGUUUCAUGGAUUUUUAUGCAUUUAUCCCUGGUUCCUCUCUAAACCAGUUGUCCAGUUUGUGUUUCUAAGUCAUUUAUUGAUUGAGGUAAGUCGUGUAGACCUUGGGAUCUUCACAGUGUGUAGGUACAAUAGCUAAAACAGACAACAAUCCCCCUCCCCCCCCCAAAAAAAAAAACCCACCAAAAACAUGGAUUUAAAUUUUUUUUUUUUUUUUAGUUGUAGUUGGACCCAAUACCUUUAUUUUAUUUAUUUAUUUUUAUGUGGUGCUGAGGAUCGAACCUAGGGCCUCACUAGGUGAGUGCUCUACUGCUGAGCCACAACCCCAUCCCCUGAAUUUUCCUUUUUGUUGAUAUAAAAACAAAACUUGCUAUUUGCAAAGUGUUAAAACGGUUAUUCACAUGAAAAUUCAUCAGUCUCCAUCUCUAUAUGCCCUAGUUUGCUAAAAAGGGUAAGUUAUCUUUACUAGUCUUUAUUAAUACUUAUACAAAAUAUGAAAACGUGUAUACAAAAUAUUGCUUUUUUUUUUUUUAAAGUAAAUGAUACCUUCCUGUACCAUAUCUGCAGGCUGCUUUUUGUUUUUCCUUUCAUUUUAUUUUAUUUUUUAGUUGUUGAUGAACCUUUAUUUUAAUAAUUUACUUAUUUAUAUGUGGUGCUGAGAAUCAAACCCAGUACCUCACACAUGCUAGGCAAGUGCUCUACCACUGAACCGCAACCCCAGCCCUUGUUUUUUUUUUAAUAUUUAUUUUUUAGUUGUAGUUGUUAAUACCUUUAUUUUUUUAUGUGGUGCUGAGGAUUGAACCCAGGGCCUUGAAUGCGCUAGGCGAGCGCUCUACUGCUGAGCCACAACCCCAGCACCCCCAGCCCUUGUUUGUCCUUCUUAAUUUAACAUUAUACCAUAGGCAUUUAUAGUGACAUACUUUAACCAUCACCCCCAAGUCCACCUACCGGCCCCCACCUCAGGAAUCCAGGGUCUCUCAAGUGAGAGGAAAGUACUCUAUAUACUGAGCAAUGCCAAAAACAUUUUUGAUAAGUCCUUUAUAUUCCAUAGAAAGGAUGUACCAUAACUUACUCAUUCUUCCUUUUGGCAAACAUUCAAGUUGUUUAAAAGUUUUUGGGGGCACUAAAAACAAUGCUACCAUUAAUAUACUUGUACAUAUAGCUUUAAGUGAUCUAGAUUUCCUUUUGUAUUUUGGACAUCCACAAUUGGGACAGUUAGGUUGAAUAUAUGUGUUUUGAUGUUGUUUUGCCUCUUUUGUUUUGUUUUCCUUUUGUAGUACUAGGUUUUGAACCCAGGUGCUCUAUUCUACCACUGAACUAUGUCCCCAGUUCUUUUUUUUUUUUUUUUUUAAUUUUUUAAAAUUUUGAGAUGAGCUCUCACUAAGUUGCUAAGGCUAGAAUUGAACUUGUGAUCCUCCUGCCUCUGCCACCUGAAACACUGAUAUGACAGGUGUAUACUAUUGUACCUGGCCAAAAAUGUCUUUUUCUUUUUUCUUUUCCUGUUGUGUGUGUCUGUGCACCUGCACAUACAUGCUCAUGCACAUUGUUAGGGAUUAAACCAGGGCCUCCUGCAUGUUAGGUAAGUACUCUACCAUUGAGCUGUGCCUCCAGUCCUGUAUUACAGGUUAUUUUCCUACACAUGAUAACAUUUCAGCCUCACCAACAGCAAGUGUAUAUACUGUUUCCUUCACCAGUAUCAUCAGUCUUUUUCAUUUUUGCCAGUCUGAUAAGUGAAAAUAGUAUCUAGCAUUUUCAUGACUACUGUUUUCUUUUCCUCUGAGUAUUAACCUUUUAUGUUUCUUUUUUUUUUUCUAUUUUUAAGCUAUUUAUGUGUAUCUUUUGCCCAUUUGAGAAAAAUGUAGAUUGUCCUAUCACUUUAUCAGUUCUGUGCAUGGAUUAAAUUACCUGUCUAUAGAGUGUUAUACUUAUUUUGUCUCAGUUGUUUUUUGACUUUGUUUAUCGGUUUCUUUUCAUACAAAGUCUUUUUCUUAAUUUGUUCUUUUUAGAGAUACAUGACAGUAGAGUGUAUUUUGACAUAUUAUACAUACAUGGAGUGUAACUUAUUCUGAGGAUCUCAUUGUUCUGGUGCAAAUAUAGUUCUUAUUCAUCCGAACAAUAUGCUUGUAAAGGACUUCUCCAUGUUAAAUUUUUAUAUUCUUUGUGUGUGUGGUGCUGGGGAUUGAAUCCAGGGCCUCUUGCAUGCUAAGCAGGUGCUCUACCACUGAGCUAUAUUCCUGGCCCUUUUUACAUUUUAUUAUAUUGAGACAGUGCUUCACAAAGUUGCCCGGAUUGGCCUUGGCCUUAAAAAUCCCUCUGCCUCAGUCUUCGAAGUAGCUGGGAUUACAGGCAUGCACCAAAAUGCCCAUUUUAGAACUCUUCUUCAAAUUUCCUAAUAAUUUCAUUUAUUUUUAUCUUUGGAUCUUUGAUCCAUCUGGAAUCUUGUUUUAGUUGGCAUGUGAAAAGGGGGAUAACUUUUUUUAUUCCUACUAAGUAACCAAUUGUGUCAGCACUAAUUUUUAUUAAAUCUUUCUUGCUGUGUGGUAGAAUUAAAUGAUGCUAUAAGUGCAGCAUUGAUUUGUUUUGAAUGUGUAACAUAGACAUCUAGAACUUGAAAGAGCAAGUGGAAGUAUAUCUGCCUUAAUUUUUUAUCCCUUAAUCUUUCAUCUCCAUUUCAGAGGAAGAGGGACUCUAAAAUAUUCCUUUCUUUUGAUUGGAGAUAAUGCAAUAAUUGUAGCAGUGUUCAGGCUAGUACUGUGUUAUUUCAGUCUGGAAGUUUUCCAAGAGGAAUGAAAGUGUAUCUGCCUUAUUUUUUUACAUCAACCUUUCACUUUGUCUCAGGAUGUAGAAUAGGUAGACUCCAAAAUACCUGUCUACCUUGUUUCUAAGUAAUGUAAUUAUAGUCAUAUACCAUAUUUCUAGUGUAGAAUCCAUUCUUUAUUUUCUACCUAUGUUCAAGCCUAGAAUUUCAGACCUAAUCAAAAUGGAGUUUGUGGCUUUUAAAAUGGUUAUCUUUAAGUGUCCUUUUUUUACCAUUUCAAACGUUAAAUAAAAAUAUGAGUGCUAUACAAGGCCUGGGGUUUGAUUCCCCAGCCCCCCCCACCCCCCCAAUAUACACAUACACACAAAAACAUAUUUGAUAUCAUGACAUCUUAUGCUGUUUUUUAUGGCUUAUAGAACUUUAAAUAAAAAUGAUUGUACUUAUUUGAUGAUAAGAAUGUAUACUAUUCAAUUGUCACCUCCUCUAAGCACAAGUAUCUUAACUCUAAUUUUUUUUCUUAAUUAUUUUUGAGAGAGAUUCUCACUGUGUUGCCCAAGCUGGCCUCUGAACUACUAGGCUCAAGGGAUCCCCCUGAUUCAGUCUUUCGAGUAGCUGGGAGUAUAGGGUGUGCUACCACGCCUGACAAAGUUCAUUUUAAAAAAUAUAUGUUUUUUUUGUUGUUGUUGUUUGUACUGGAGACUGAACCCAGGGGAGUUUACUAAUGAUCAACAUCCCCAGCUUUUUUUUUUUUUUUAACUUUUGAGAUAGGGUCUCACUAAGUUACUGAGGUUGGCCUCAAACUUGGAAGUCCUCCUGCCUAAGCCUCCUAAGUUGCUAGCAUUACAAACAUGUGUUCCCAGGUUUGGCUUUUAUGUGUGGUUUUUAAUAACUCAUGUCUUUUUAAUUUUUAUUUUUUGGGGUGCUGCGGAUUGAGCCCAGGGCUUUGUACCAACCACACACUCUACCACUGAAGUAGAACCCCAGCCCCUAAAAGCUCUAUCUUAAUUUAUCUCUGCAUUCUUCUUCAGGGCUAUACAAUAUGUACACCAAUGAUCAUACUAUACAUUGGUCAUUUUGUCUUACAUUCUCUCUUUUUACUACACGGUCAGAUUUUUCCUCUUAAUUAUCCAUUUGUUUGUAAGAACUUGCUUCACUAACUUCCCACCUGCCUAGGGCUCAUUCCCUAGUAUACUACUUUUACUUGCUUGCUUCUCAUUCCAACCUUUUCUGGUUGAUUUUGUUUUUCCUCUAUAAACAAAUGGUAGGUAAGAAACAUGACAUUUUCUGUUGUUGGUGAUUUUCUUAACAACAGCUGGGGUGGGUUCCUAUAGUCUUAGCUUCCUCAAGGCCUAGGGGACAUAACACCUGUUGUUGCUUCUCAGUUUUCCAUUGCCUUUGACAGAUUGGUUUUUUAUUUUUUUGUUUUUUGUUUUGUUUUAAUUGUAGAUGGACCUUUAUUUUUAUUGGUGCUGAGACAUGAACCCAGUGCCUCACACAUACAAGGCAAGAGCUCUACCGCUGAGCCACAAUCCCAGCCCCUGGAUUGGUGAUUUUAAAACCCUCCCAAAUCUGCCAUCCACCCGUACUGCCAAAAUAUAAAAAAUGUGCCUGGUUGGUUGGUCGGUUAUUUAUUUAUUUAUUUAUUUAUUUGUUUAUUGGUACUGGGGAUUGAACCCAGUACCAAUAAAUAAAUAAAUAAUCACUGAGCUACAUUGCCAGCCCUUUUUUUAAAUUUUGAGACAGGAUCUCACUAAGUUUCUGAGACUAGCCUGGAAUUUACCAUCCUCCUGCCUCAAUCAUCCAGGAUGCUAGGAUUAUAAGUGUGCAGCACCAUGCCCAGCUCUUCCUAAGUUUUUAGCAGUGACUUUCUACUGCUGGUUGUUUAGGUGUGACUUCUCUCAAUUUUGCAAGAGCAGAAACUCCUUUGUGUGUGUGUGUGUAUGUGUGUGUGUGUGUGUCUGUGUGGAAGUAAUAAGGCUCUAGGGGACAGACUCACUAACCAAACCCUCUGGAGACUAAAUCAAAAAUCCAUAUGCAGAGUUAUUAAUUUUCAGUGGGAGAUAUAUCUAUACAGAGACCUGCAUGAGAGCUCACACCUGUUCUACUCAAGAGACAAAUUAUAGAUAAGAAGUAUCCUUGGUGUGCAGAGAGUCAGGGGAGGGAAAAUUGGGUGUGGCAAAAAGGAUAUUUACAGCAGCAGCCCUAUUUGGUGAUUCUCCACUUUCCUGGUAUUUAGGGGCUUCCAUUGCUUUACCAUUUGCUUUUAAUGUUGUCAUCCACUGAAAUCCCAUGAAGAGGAAGAAACCCUGCCCAUCCUUCCAGUCUGUCCAUUUUAGGAGCUGCUGCCUCUAUAAAGUCUUUCUGAGUCCUCACCAUAUUGCUUUUAUUCUUUGCUCCUUUAGCACACUUUUGGACUAUUAUUUUAGUUUUUAUUGUUGUAGCUGUAUAGCAAGAGAAAUAGGUUGCUUAUCUCUUACAUAGAUUGAAAGUUCCUGGAAGACAGAGAACACCUGAAUUUUUCUAGUACUAUUUUAUAAGGCCUUCUCUGACCACCCUAUCUAAAAAAAUAAAAUAUUUAGAAGCCUAUAUUAAGUUUACAUUCACUUCUGAUUUUUAUGGAAUUCUACACCAUGGCCCUGAAAAUAAGGUAUUUAGUCCUUUUUUUUUCUUUUACAUAUUUUUAUUAAUAUAUAGACUUAGCAACUAAUUUUGUCUUGGUGUUAUUGGAUCAUGUUUGGGACUCCAACCCAAGCUACAUUGUCUCUUGUUUUUUGUGAUUUACAUCUGGAUUGUUUUCUUAGAUUGGAAGCAUUUGAUAUUCUAUAUUUCUGAUUCUAAAGUAAUACCUGCCUAUUAUACAAAAUGUAUAAGUCUUUUCUUUUUUAACUUUAUUUCUUUAUGUGGUGCUGAGGAUUGAACCAACCCAGUACCUUAUACAUGCUAGGCAAACAUUCUACCACUAAACCACAACCCCAGACUCACAAAGGGUAGAAAUCAUUUUAACAAUAUUAUGAAGAAAGGGGGGGAAAAAAAAAAACUAGACCCUGUAGUCUCACAACCUAUUAGGAACUACUGUUUAUAUUUUGAUAUAUGAUCUAAUCUUAUUUCUGAAGUCCUUGGUGAAGGCUCCAUCCCAGGUGAUUCCAACAGACCAUGCUUUGCAACCCUUCCCAGUGUGACUGGUAAUCAAAAAAACAGCAGUGAUGAAAGGCAAGAAAAGAGUUUUUAAGCUGUGUGGCUACACCUGAGGUUUUAUAGAAAAAUGGAAGAAAGUCAAGUUUGGGGGGCUUGAAUGCCUGAGGCAUUUAUAUUGAUGGUAUAAUUGGUUGUUCUUGGUUAUUCUUGGUCUGAUUGAUCUUUCUCAUCAAUGCUUGAUGGGGUGAUUUGAUUUGCAUCCUGGGAUGAUUCCUCCUCUGGGGUGCAGUCUCAUUUUAGGGUGAUCUGUUCCUGGGAGGCUUGCUGUAGCUUGGGGAUGGUUUCUACUCCUCGUCUUAUAGGUGCUUAUCAACAAGACUAUAAUUCCUGGAAUCCAAGGUGUAACUGUAGAAGAAAGGGCCUCAGAAGGAAAAAAGUAUAAAAGGCAAAUGGAGUUAGAAAAGGACAAAAUGGAGUUGGUUAGGUCAGUGACUAGGUUCUCCUUCAAUCUUUUUUUUUUUUUUUUUAAAUUUUAGAAAAAGUAUAGUUGAAUUCAUACUGCAUUUCUUUUUUAAAGAGAGAGAUUUUUAAAAAUAUUUUUAUUUUUCGGUGGACACACAUCUUUAUUUUACUUAUUUUUUUAUGUGGUGCUGAGGAUUGAACCCAGCGCCCCGCGCAUGCCAGGCGAGCACCCUACUGCUUGAGCCACAUCCCCAGCCCCUCAUACUGCAUUUUUUAAUUUAGAGAUUUGCUUUUCAUUUAAUGUGGCAAUUAUUUUUAUUAUCAAAAACUUAGUUUAUGGUGAUUUUAACUUUCUUGGUGUUUUUCUCAAUUUUUCACAAAUAUUAUAUUGCUUUCAUUACUGAAAGUAAAACAAUAAAUGCUCUGUAAGAAUAUCUUAUGGCUUCAGGCAUGAUGGUGCACACCUGUAAUUCCAGCAACUUGGGAGGCUAAAGCAGGAGGAUCACAAAUUGGAGGCCAGUCUCAGUAAAUUGGUGAAAUCCUGUUUAAAAAAAAAAAAAAAAAACAUAAAAAAGAGGCUAGUGAUGUAAUUCAGUGGUAAAACGCCCCUGGGUUUAAUCCCCAGUACCGAAAAAUAUGUCUUAUGGCUGGGCAUAGUGGACACAGGAUUCUAAGGCGGGAUAAUGCUAGUCCCCAGAAAUUCAAGGCCAGCCCAUUGCAACGUACAACAUUCGAAAAAGCAAAAAACAAAGAUCUUAUGAAUGUAUUUUUUGGCUCAGUGAUUUAACUUUUUUUUUUUUUUUUUAAGAAUUUUAAUAUUUAUUUUUUAGUUUUCGGCAGACACAACAUCUUUGUUUGUAUGUAGUGCUGAGGAUCGAACCCGGGCCGCACGAUGCCAGGCGAGCGCGCUACAGCUUGAGCCACAUCCCAGCCCUGAUUUAACUUUCUCUUUCAUUAAAUAUUGAAGUUAUUUCAGAUUUUAGGCUUUAUUAAUAAGGUGAUGAUGAAUGUUUUUAUGAGUAACGUCUUUUUAUGAAUUAUUUCAUAGAAUUAUUUUUUAAGUUAUACCAGUUUAUAUCCUUACUAAUACUGUCAAUUUGUUUAAGGAAUGAGUCAUUUUAUCAGGGGCCUAUGUUCUGCUAGGCAUUUAACAGCUUUAUUUAUGUAAUCCCUAUAGACAUCUUUUGAGGUCCUUAUUGUCUCUAUUUAUAGGCAAAGGAGGUGAGGCUCAAAGAGUCUAAUGUAGCCAGGUCAUGGUGGCACAUAGCUGUAAUCCCAGCUGCUCAGGAGGCUGAGGCAGGAGGAUCACAAGUUCACAGCCAGCCUCAGCAAUUUAGUGAGGCCCUAGCCCUAACUUGGCAAGAUCCUGUUUCAAAAUAAAAAGGACUGGGGAUGUGGCUCAGUGCUUAAGCACCCCUGGAUUCAAUCCCCAGUACCAUAAAAAAAAAAAAAAGCUAAUGUAACUUACUUUAGGCUUAGGCUACACAGGUAAUGGAGGAGUUGAGAUGUAAAUCCAGAUCUUUAUGAUUCCACAGCCUCUAAAUCACUAUACAUGUUUGAAUUUUUAUUCAGAUUAUCACUAUACUAUACUUAGCUACUUUACUUUUAAUUUCUUUAGGCUGUUAGAAAAUAGGCAGGGGCAAAGAAGAGGGGUAAUUGGGAUAGUUUGGUAGAAAGUGCUCUUUACCAAAGGCACUCUAAAGAUAAUAUUAUUGAAAAUAAUAAUAUUCUAGACAUGUAUCAUUCCCCAUUUUUGUUGUCAAGAUAUCCCACAGAUUUUGAAAAUUAUUUGUAACAGUUCAUGCUUUUUUUUAGCUUUUUUUUUUUUUUUAAGAAAAUCGGAGAAGUUAGAAACCUCAAAAGUUCAUCUCCAUUGCCUUAUCCUCUGACAAUCAUUGCUAAUACUGUUGUUUUUAUCUCUUAAUUUCUCAAAUAUACUUUUCAUUCCUAUAGUUUUAUUUAGUCUCUUUCUUUCUUUCUUUGGUACCAGGGAUUGACUCAGGGACACUUAACAGCUGAGCCACAUCCCAGCCUUUUUUUUUUUUUUUGAGACAGGGUCUCUAUAAGCCUGCUAAAUUGCUGAGGCUGGCUUUAAACUUGAGAUCUCUUGCCUUAGCAUCUGAGCUGCUGUGAUUACAGGCCUGCAUCACCAUGCCUCACUAAUUUCAUCCUUUAAAAAAAAGUUAAUUGUAUAACUAAUAUAUAAUACACAGGUUAAAGAGGAAAAGAAAUAAGGCCUGAAAUACUGUUAACCAUCCCAUUCCAAUCCUCCUCUUCCCUAUAAUUUCCUCAACCCGGAUAGUCUGCAACUUGCUUUUUUCUCCAAGUAUCUUGAAAAUCUUUUUAUGUUAGUUUGUUAGACAAAUCAAUCAAUUGAUAUAUCUCUCCCUUUCCCUUCCCCCCCUUCCCUCCCCCGCCCCCCCCUCUUUUCAGCACUGGGGGUUGAACCCAGGGCCUCACACAUGUUAGGCAAGUGCUUUAUUACUCUGGCUCAAUAGAUGUAAUUUUUGAAAACUCUGUGUUAUUUAUUCCAUAGUAUUGGUUGUAUCUUUUUAUUCAUUCGUUUAAUUAUGAAUUGCUUUGUAAUUUCAUUUUGAUUUCCUAUUUAAACUGAGGGUUAAGAAGUUUAUUCCCCAGGUGGCAUUAUCUUCAUAAAAUAUUUUUUCCACAUAAUUUUAAAACCAUCAGUGAAACCAUCAGUGGCUCUUUCAAGCUCUAUAAUGGGCAUCAUAUACUCAGAGACAUCCAGUGACUUACAAAGAAUUGAGUGACAGACCAAAGGGUGUAGUGGGACUGACAGUUGGUAGAGAGUGUAGAAAUUGCCUAAAGAUGUUAAAAUGCACUUUAAAAACAAAACAGAAAAACACUGAUGACCAAAUAAGAAACUUUUACCAACAAGUUUCUCCUCCCCCGCCCCCCUUCCCCCCUUCCCCCACCAUACUGUGGAUUGAACCUGGGAUGAUCGACCACUGAGCUACAUCCCCAGCCCUUGUUAUUUUGUAUUUCAAGAUAGGGUCUUACUGAGUUGCCCAGACUGGCCUCGAAUUUGUGAUCCUCCUGCCUCAGCUUUCUGAGAGGGCCAACAAAUUUAAGUUUGUUAUCCAUUAAUGUACUACAGAGCCCUUUUACAGCUUACUUACUAGCCACCUUCCCUUUCUCCCAGAACACACUAUCUUUUAUGUUUCUCUGCCUUUGUCUGUGCUGGAAAAUUAUUCCCUCCUUCUCUGCUAGAAGAAUACAGCUUGUCCUUUAAGACUUGCUAUCAUACUCCUACAUCUUCUGUGAAACUGUUUGAGUUGCCCAAGACAGAUGUCAGUCUAGCCUAAUGGCAGUUUAGAUCUUUAUUACUGCUUUUUAUUACAUAGCUUUGUAAGAAUUUCUGUACCUCUCUUAACUCAUUUGGGGUGAGUCCUUCUUGGCAUAUGCUACCUUAUUUGCCUUGAUAUUCUUAGGCUUGGCAAGUGCACACAUGUAAGGGGCAUUCUGUUUUUAUUGAUUGAGUGAAUAAAUGAAUAAUCUUACUAACGGUAGUAAGAAUGACCUUGUGGAAAGCCAGAAUCCAAACUCAUGGCUACAUGACAAACAUGAAGUCCUAUAUUGCUCAGAUUACUAAUUCCAGAUUUUAUCAAAAAUAAAGGUAAUUUAUUUGAUUAAAAAAAAAAAAAAGGCUGGGAUGGGGCUCAGUUGUAGAGUACUUGCCUAGCAUGCUUGAGGCUUUGGGUUCCAUCCCAAGCAUAGGGGGAUAGGAGUAUAGGCACAGCUUUAUUUCAGUGUUGAUAAAAUUAAUAUAAAUCACAUACAGACCUUAAAGGGAAAUUUGAAAGCACGAGUUUUAAUACUAACUCACCUUAACUCAUGAAAUACUUCAUCUCUAAUCCUUGGGUUCUAUCGUAUGUAUAGUACUAUUUGCUACUUUUAUUCAGACUUGUAAAAAUCAUCUCAAACUGUGUUUGUCGUAUUGUAUUAUCCAUCUCCCUGGUCAUCUCUGGCUGAACAUUAUUUUAUAUCCUUUCUACUUGUCCCGUAUCCUAACCUUCUACCAUUUUGAGAGUCAAACUGUGUUCUAUUUGCUUUAAUUUAAAAUGUUUCUUUACCUUCUGUUUUCCAACUCCUUUUAUUUCUCUGAGAAGAAAAGUAUAAUACUAGAGAGCCAGAAAUCAGUCUUACUUACAUGUUUACAAGUAUCCAUGGUCCACAUUGUUCACAAAACAGAUUCUUAUCAUUAUCCUAGAGCAAUUGCUUGAUCCCAUAAUGUAUAGUACAUGGUUAUUGUCAGUUUUUAAUAAACCCUUAUUCCACAUCCUUUGUCCAGGCAGUUUGAGAUAAUUGCCUUCAAAUUAAGUGAAACAUUUCCUGAUGUUUUCAUCUGUCAUGAUAGAAUUCUGUGUUUAAGUUCUAUGUGGGUUUUUUUUGUUUGUUUGUUUGUUUUUGUUUUUGAGAAGGGUCUUGCUGAGUUGCUGAGGCUGACUUUGAACUUGCUAGCCUCCUACCUAAGCUGCCUGAGUUGCUGGCAUUAUAGAUGUGCACCACCAUACCUGGCUGGAAUUUUAUGACUCCUAUAUUGAUUUAAAAAAAAAAUGGUACUAGGAAUUGAACCCAGGAGUUCUUAACCACUGAGCCCUUGGAUUAUAGUUAUGUGCCGCUGUUCCCAGUUUAUUUUUUGAGACAGGGUGUCUCCAAGGUCCCAAGGCUGGACUUUUAUUUGCAUUCCUCCUGCCUCUUCCAUCUUCGGAGGGGCUGGGAUUAUAGGUACCUGCCACCUUACGUGGAUUCUAUGUUGAGUUUUAAAGUGGUUGAUAGAUUAGAACUCCAGAAUGACACCUACCUGUCAGUUACUAUAGAGCCUCAACCUCUGGUUUUCUGAGUGAUGCCUGAAAAAUAUCGUCCCUCAAGGUUAGAUCCAGCCUAGGCACUGAAUAGUCUAUGCUCCUUUGCGUGGCUUUUCAAGUUCUUUUCUUUUUAUGUUAGUUUGUUAGUUUGUUAGUUUCCAGCAGUUGCUACCUCCUGCCAUCAGUUUGUCUUCAUCUAGUCUCUGGUUCAAAAAUCCAAGUCAUUUUUAUUUUUUUUUAAUUUCAUUUAAUUUUAAAAUUAAUUAAUUAAUUAAUUUUUUGCACUGGGGGUUAAACCCAGGGGCACUUUACCACUAAUCUACAUCCUUAGACCUCUUAUUUUUUGAGACAGGGUCUCACUAAAUUGCUUAGGGCCUUGCUGAAUUUCUGAGGCUGGUCUAGAACUUCUGAUCCUCCUGUCUCAGCCUCCCCAGCCACUGGGAUUACAGGUGUGUGCCACCACGUCAUUUUUAAAUUCUCCCUUCUAUGUAGGCCAGCCACCAAGCUUUGUAAUAAGGCUCAUGGAUUCUUACAAACCUGAGUCACUUCCAUCUUUGUCUAUCCCCACUCUAGAUCACAUAAGAACACCUGCUCUGCCCUGCCCCACCCAGCCCACAAAUGCUUAACCUUUUAAUUGCAGUUGUGUUGGCUUCCACACUCACAAUUUUUUUAAAAAAAUAUUUUUUAUUUGUGCAUUAUAGUUAUAAAUAAUAUUGGGGUUUAUUUUGACAUGAUUAAUACAAGUAUGGAAUAUAAUUUGCUCCAUUCAGUCCCCAGUACCUCCUUUACUCUUCCUUCCUCACUCCCCUUGUUCCCUUUCCUCUAUACUACUUGUCUUUCUUCUAUUUAUUUAUAGUUUUUUUUAAUUAGUGCAUUAUAGAUAUAAAGCUGAAAUUUAUUGUGAUAUAUUCAUAUGUGUACAUAGCAUAGUUUUAUUACACUGAAUUGUUUUUGUUUUUAAAGAGAUGGGAUCUUGCUAUGUUGCCAAGCUCUUGGGCUCAAACAAUUUUUCUGCUUCAGACUCUUUCAUAUCUGGGGCCACAGGCUUGUGUCAUUGUAUCUAACUGUAGUCCCAGUUUUUAGUUUGUGUUGUUUGGUUUGUUUUGCAGUACUGGGGAUUGAGUCCGGGGGUGCUCUACCACAGAACUACAUCCCUUUUUUUUUUUUUUUUUUGGUACUGGGGAUUGUACCCAGGGGCGCGUAACUACGUAGCUGCAUUCCCAGCCCUUAUUUAUUUUUUUAUUUUUUAUUUUGACAAGAUCUAGCUAAAUUGCUGAGGCUGGCUUUAAACUUGUAAUCCUCCUUCCUCAGCCUCCUGAGCCCCUGAGAUUAUAGGCCUGUGUCACCAAGUCCAGCACCUUCCCUUUUUUGAGACAGUCUGGCUAAAUUUCCCAGGCUAACCUUGAAUUUGUGAUUCUCCUGCCUCCUGAGUAGCAGAGAUUACAGGCAUGUGUGAUUGUGCCCUAGCCCAUGGCCUCAGUUUUCAUCUCAGUAUUCAGGUAUUUUCCAUAUCAACUCCUAAUCUUUUAAAUUUUAUUUCCCCACCACAGUGCUAUGUAGUUCCUGGCUAUCCUAUAACUUUACCAAGGCUUUGGUUGGCCUCAGCCCCUUCCAGUCCCUCUGCAUACCUGAAAUGAUUUCUUUACCUCUGAAGCCCACCAUACUUUAUUUAUCUUAUGUCAUAUUAUUGCCCCCAAAGAGCUUUAUAGUUGACUAAAGUGCAUUUGAAUCUGUUUUAUUUAAUUUUCACAACAGUCUAUUAGGUAAGUAAGACAGUGUCUUAUCACAAGUGAGGAAAACUGAGCCAAGAUAUGAUGAGGGAAUAGUAAGUUGCCCAAGUUUUGCAGUUAGUAAAGCAUGGCACUAAGACUCAUCCAUGUCUCCUGUGCAUAAGCCCUAAGCUUUAUAUAAUAUACUUCUACUACCUUUCUGAGUGUCUGAAUCUGAAUGUGCACGUAAAUAUAAGUUUGAAUAUUUCUCUCUUUCCAAUUGACUGUUAGCUAUUUGAAGGUAGGUACUAUGCCUUAUUCCCCUAGAAUAUAUAUGUGUAUAUACGAGUGAGCAUGUUCAUGUCCAGUUCAAUGUUCUCUUUCUCUGUAAAAAUCAGCCUUCCCCUGAGUCGUGCUUCCCCAUUAUUUUUUUUUAAGUAGAUAGGAAACUUACUUUGCAUACAAUAAAUAAUAAAAUUACUAUUUUAUAUAAUGAAUUUAACUUUUGAUCUUUUCAUUAAUAUACUUCAAUUUACAAGGUAUCUGAAGAAAUUGAUUAAAAGCUAGGCUACUGAGCUAUCAUUCUACAUUUUCAAGUAUUAUAAAUAUCAUGAAUUUCUCAUAACUUUAUAAUUUUUAUGUUAGUUGCAUGAGAACAUACCACAAAAGCUAUUAUGAGGGCUGAAGAUACAGCUCAGUUGGUAGAGUGCUUGCCUCACAUGCACAAGGCCCUGGGUUCAAUCCCCAGCACCACAUACACACACAAAAAGCUAUUAUGAAUAGAGUAAAAUAAAUUCCAUUUUUUAUUAUGGGGAAGUACACAAUAUUUUCAUAACCAUUUUAAUGGAUUUAAAUUUUAUUAUAUCACAUUUAUUUAUUUAUUUAUUUAUUUUUGUGCUGGAAAUUGAACUCAGGGGCACUUGACCACUCAGCCACAUCCCCAGCCUAUUUUGUAUUUUAUUCUUUUAUUUAAAGACAGGGUCUCACUGAGCUGCUUAGCACCUCACUUUUGCUGAGGCUGGCUUUGAAAGCGGGAUCCUCCUGCGUCCACCUCCUGAGCCUCUGGGAUCACAGGCAUGCGCCACCACACCUGGCUGUCUACAUAUAUUUUAAAUGGAGGACUGAGGCUAUAUAGCUCAUUGGUGAGCACUUGCCUAUUAUGUGUGAGGCCCUGGGUUUGAUCCCCAGCAUUGAAAGCAAAAGAAAAAAAACGUUGGUUGAAUUUUUGCCCGCUGUGGUUGUAUAUUCCUUAGCCAGCCAGGAGAUUAGGGCAGGUGGAUCACGAGUUCCACUCUAGCCUGGGCAAUGAAUUUAGUUGCAAUGAAAAGGGGAGGAGGGUUGGGGAUGUAUCUCUGUGGUUGAGAGCCCCUGAGUUGAAUCUCCAUUGCUGUCCUUGUUUUUGUUUUUGUUUCCAGUACUGGGGAUUGAACCCAAGAGCACUUUAACAUCAAACUACAUACCCAGUCUGUUUUAUUUUUUAUUUUGAGAUACAAUCUCAAUAAGUUGCUGAGACUGGCCUGAAACUUGUGAUCUUUCAGCCUCAGAUUCCUGAAUUGCUGGGAUUGCAGAUGUGUUUGUGUAUACCACUGCUUCCACAACCAGCAAAAAAAAAAGGAAAGAAAAAGAGAAAAAUGAAAGCUGCUAAUACAUACACAUACAAGACCUCUAGUAUUCCAUCUACAGGAAAUGCUUGGUGCUCCUAAUACUUGCAGAUCCUCUUUGGUAACUCUAAGUUGCCAGUUGGGAUCCAUAUUUGCAGGGAUUCUGAUAUUAUUCUGAAUUACUCAGUGUUACCAUAGGAAAUUUCAUGUGAGAAAUUUCUUACAGAGCCAAGUAGUUGAAAUAGCUUUGCUCCCCUGAAUAAUUGCUUUUUGAAUGAUUUCUUUUUGAAUAACUUGGCUUGCAACUGAGCUUGUCUCCUUUUUCACAUUGGUAUUUGGGAAGUUCAGAACCAAAUAUGUCACUCAGUUGUAGCAAUUGUAUUGAUCUUUUCUGCAUGAUAAAGUUUUUCCACUUUGAUAGUGACUUUCCAUUGUCAUUUUCUUGGCUGUGAUUUUUAAAUUUAUCUUUCAUCAUUUUAGUGCAUGUAUUUCCCAAAAGCCAUCUAAAAUUCUUUAAAGGUGAAUCAGGAGAUAAAUAAAUCUCUAGCCCUUCAUUUGUGACCAUGUUUGGCACUGGACAUAUCUAUUUUAUAUAGUGAUGCCAACAUGUGUAUGUCUUGAUCUUCAUACUGUGUUUAAUUACAUUCAGAAGUGAUUAGAAAAAUGUAGUCUCAGGCUGGAGUUGUGGCUCAGAGGUAGAGCACUUGCCUAGCAUGCUUUUAAGGUACUGGGUUCGAUCCUCAGCACCACAUAAAAUAAAAUAAAGAUAUUGUGUCCACCUAUAACUAAAAAAUAAAUAUUAAAAAAAGAAAAAUGUACUUUCAUUUGCUACAAAUCACUUCCAAGAACUCUUCACAGUAUCAAUUAAACAUAUCUUGAGAAGUAGAGUAUACAUCUAUUUAGGAAGGAAGCAAAACAUUGUGACUACAGCACGCCUUGGCUAGCAUUUAGAGAUUAUUGCUGGCAGUAACAAUUAAUAAAUCCACAGGUGGGUGUGGGAAGACAACUUCUUUUUCUUUCAUUGCCUAUCCUUUUGAAAUUUGUACCAUAUACAUAUGUCACCUAUUCAAAAAACUAAUAAAAUAAUUUCUCAGUCAUCUUUAGUAGAAGUACUAAAAAGUUCUCUUUCUAUUAGACUAUGAGCACUUAAAAAUGGGAGUUCAUAACCCACUUGAAUCUAAUGUAUGAAAUAUGAUAUGUCAGGAGCUUUGUAAUGUUUUGAACAACCAAUAAAAUAUAUAUAAAUAAAUAAAUAAAUAAAUAAAAUAGACUAUGAGCACUUGGAGACUAGGAAGUGUAUGAGAUUCAUCUCAUCAUUCCUGAACCUAGCACAGUAGUUUACACAUAGUAAGCCCCCAGCUUAUGUGUGUAGAUAUGAAUUGGUAAAUGAAAAUUGCAAGUUUCAGUAGGGACAUGACCAGAAAUUACUAAAGAAUUGUGUGUAUAACUCAUGCCCCUUUUAACUCUGUACAUCUGUUUUAGAAUGAGGCUGAAACCAGCUUCCUGGCUUUGAAGUAACAUCUUUUUUUUUUUUUUUGGUGCUAUGGAUUGAACUCAGGAACACCUGACCACUGAGCAACAUCCCCAUCCCUUUUUGUAUUAUAUUUAGAGACAGGGUCUCACCAAGUUCCUUUUGCUAAGGCUGGCUUUGAACCUGCGAUUUUCCUGCUUCAGCCUCCCAAGCUGCUAGGAUUACAGGCGUGCACCACCACACCCUGCUGUAACAUAAUUUUUAUUGGUGCCCUUUAAAAUAACUUUAAAAAGUUAUUUUUCCCAGUCACUUGUUCAAAGUUGUUUUGUUUAUGUGUUACAGUAUGGGAUUUCAUCAAAUGUAUCUUCCAAGCUACUUUUUAUUUUUUCUUGCAGAUCUUUGUAGAAUUUGAUGGCUGUAACUGGAAGCAACACUCCUGGGUUAAAGUUCAUGCUGAAGAAGUUAUUGUGCUUUUGCUGGAAGGGUCACUUGUAUGGGCACCCCGGAAUGACCCAGUCCUUUUGCAGGGCACUCGAGUCUCAAUUGCACAGUGGCCAGCCCUGGUGAGUAGUUUUUAUUAUUUUUUUUUAUUUGGUCCUAGGGCUUAAUUCCAGAGUCUAACUCAUGCUAGCCAAGAUCUCUACUAAUGAGCCAUACCUGUAGCCCCCAAAUCCUGCCACCUACUACCUCAGGUCUGCCAGGGUACUUGUUAGGCAAGUGAUUUCACUGAGCUGUAUAUACCCUUGGUCCCUGAGUGGCCCCUAUUGGGUAGGAACAUAUUUGAGCUUUCCUAACAUAACUAUAGUGUUUGCCCAGUAGUGGAACUCUUUAGAAUUCACAAAACCCUACCUUAAAGUUAUGAAAGUAAAAAUUAAGAGAGAGCUUUUCUCUUCUGUGUUCUCCAAAACACUCUGAUAAUAUUUGAUACUGUUUAUCUCUAAAUAAUUUUUUCACUUUUAGUCUUUUCUCAUAGCAAGAUUUGAAAUAGUGUAAUCCUCAAAAGUGUUUUGUAAUUAAGUUUUGUUUUUUGAAAUGAAAUGAAAUAGUAUUAUAAAAUUCUGAGAGUAUCCAUUUGUUUUUAUCUAUCCUGUUAGAUAAAUGGCAAUUUUUAAAAAAUCCUAAUUCUCCUGUGGCUAAUCAAAUUAAAUAAAUAAUAUUCAAAGCAAAUAUUAUUUGACCUAUUGAUUAUACAUAUUAUUCCUUGCUAAAUUGUCUUUUUCUUUUGUAUGUGUCAGGGGGUGCUGGGUAUUAAACCCAGGGCCUAGCACAUGCUAGGCAAAUGUUGUACCACUGAACACAUCCCUAGCUUUUUCUUUUUUAUGUUUUUAUUAGUGCAUUAUAGUUAUACAUAAUAUUGGGAUUUAUUUUGACAUGAUCAUACAUACAUGGAAUAUAAUUAUCUUUAUUUCAGUCCUUGGUACUUCCCUUUUCCCUCUCUUCUCCUUCCCCUCAUUCCGCCUUCCUUUUUCUAUUGGUCUUCCUUCUAUUUACUUAUUGGUUUAUUUUGUUGGGUUUUUUUUUUUUGGUUUGUUUGUUUUUGUUUUAAUACUGGGGAUUGAACCCAGGGCACCUAACCACUAAGCUACAUCCCCAGCCCUUUUUAUUUUUUAUUUUGAGACAGGGUUUUGCUAAGUUGCUGAGGCUGGCCUGAAAUUUGUUAUCCUCCUGUCACUGGGAUUACAGACGUGUACCCUCAUACCUGUUUUUGUUUCUUUGGUACUGGGGAUUGAACCCAGAGGUACUUUAUCACUGAGUCACAUCCCCAGCCCUUUUUUAUAUUUUAUUUUUAGACAGGGUUUCACUAAGUUGCUUAGGGACUUGCUGAGUUGCUGAGUUUCAUUUUUUGCCACUUUGCCUGGAUUAUUGUGUUUUUAAAUUGGUGCUUAAUAGGUAUUCAUAAAGGGAGAAUUCACAUGGAGUAUUUAUAUAUGUACAUAGCAUAAUUUGGCCAAUUUCAUUCCUCAUUUCCUCCUUUUUCCUGUCCCUCUUCCUUUCCUCUCAACCUCCUUCUGUUCCAUUGAUCUUCCUUCUGUUUUCAUGGAGUUCCCCCCACCCUCCACCUUUUCUUCCCUUAUUUUGCCCUAGCAUUCUCAUAUGAGAGAAAAUAUUUUGACCCAUGGCUUUCUGAGUCUGGCUUAUUUCUUUAUGGCUGAGUAAAAUUCUAUUAUGUACAUAUACCACAUUUUCUUUAUCUAUUCAUCUGUUGGUGGACACCCAGCUGGUUCCAUAACUUGGCUAUUGUGAAUUGUGUUGAUAUAAACAUUAAUAUGCCUGUAUUGCUAUAGUAUGCUGAUUUUAGUUCUUUUGGAUAAAUACCAAGGAGUGGAAUAGAGUGGGUUAUAUGAUGGGUCCAUUCCUAGUCUUUUGAGGAGUCUCCAUACUGCUUUACAAAGUGGUUGUACUAGUUGGCAGUUUGCAGUCCCACUAAGAAUGUAUGCAUUUCCCCAUAUCCUUGCCAGCACUUUUUCAUUUGUUGUUAUUUUUGCAGUACUGCAGAUUGACUGUUUUGUUUUUGUUUUGCCGUGUUGGGGUUUGAACCCAGAGCUUCACACAUACUAGGCAAGCACUCUACUACUGAGCCAUGUCCCCAGCUCUUUUCAUUAUUUAUUUUUUGGUACCAGGGAUUGAACCCAGGAGCACUUAGCCACUGAGCUACAUCCCCAGGCCUUUUUUUUUUUUUUUAAUUUUGACACAGGGUCUCACUAAGUUGAGAGGCUACUCUUAAACUUGCAGCCUUCCUGCCUCAGCCUCCUAAAUCACUGGGAUUAUAGGCAUGUGCCACCAUACCCGGCCUUUUCAGGUAUGGUGAAAAUACCUGUUUUGUUUUUGUUUUUUGGUACUGGGGAUUGAACUAAGGGGCACUCAACCACUGAGCUACAUCCCCAGCACUAUUUUGUAUUUUAAUAUUUAUUUUUUAGUUGUAGUUGGACACAAUAUCUUUAUUUUAUUUAUUUUUAUGUGGUGCCGAGGAUUAAACCCAGUGCCUCAUGCAUGUAUGUAUGUGAGGCAAGUGCUCUACCACUGAGCUACAACCCCAGCCCUGGUAUUCUGGGCAUUUACUGAAAUUUAGUCCUCUUGAAGGCUGAUAAGAUUAGUCAGAUCCCUAAGGAAAAUGAGGAAUUUUUAAUCUCAAUUGUCCUUUUUAGCCAUAAAUAAAAGUAUUUUUUAAAUUUUUAUUUUUAUAUGGCAGUGGAAUGCAUUACAAUUCUUAUUACACAUAUAGAGCGCAAUUUUUCAUAUCUCUGGUUGUACACAAAGUAUAUCCACACCAAUUUGUGUCUUCAUACAUGUACUUUGGAUAAUAAUGAUCAUAAUAGAAGAGUAUUGAGCAAAGUUUUCUACGUUAGUUUGCUUCCUAGGGACAGAUGCUAGGCUAGAAAUGUUUCCAAGGACUUAAACUUUAGUUUAUCUGUAUUUACUAGUGUGAAAAUAUAAAAAUAAUAUAAUAAUGAAUACUUUUUCUGAAGUAGGGAUUUAUUGAAUUGUUAUUGGUUUUCAUUUCCAAGUUCUAAUCAGUUUCUUGUCAUUAUGCUUCACAGACUUUCACUCCCCUAGUAGAUAAACUGGGUUUGGGUUCUGUGGUGCCAGUUGAAUACCUUCUGGAUCGAGAACUUCGUUUCCUGUCAGAUGCUAAUGGGUUGCAUCUGUUCCAGGUACUUUACACUUAACUCUGGUCUUGAGCCUAUUAUUUUUCUCCUUGCUAAUUUCUUUGUUGAUACAAAUACUGGUGUUUCCCUUUUUCUUAGUGUUUCUUUGAUUUCCUUCAAUAAAUUCCCCUGUGCCUUUUAAAGUUUCUCUGCUUCCUUGCAAAGUACUGAGGCUUCUUUCCUUUUCUGUAUAACCCUGCUCCACACUAAAGCCAUUGAAGACUUAAGACCACAAUUCUGAGGGUCCCUUCAGAAGAGGUGGCUUCAUUGAGUUGGUUGCUUCUGUAGUAUGAGUCCUAGGGGCCCUAUGCAUACCUUAGUGGCAUGGAAGUGGGGAGGAAUGUGGAGUGGUUCCAUGCAGUGUGAAGUUUUGAAGAGCUUUUGGUAUAUCUUUAGUUUAAAAAAAAAAUGGGAUAAGUUAAAUAGUUGAAACAAACUAGCUUCUGAGUUUGGGUUUCAGAAUUUAACAAAGUACUGUUUAAUUCUCACUUGUAAGGGUUACUAUCUGAAGGUUAAAAUCUGAGAGACUUCUAAGAGUUUUAUUCUUAUCAAGAAAGCCAAGAACAGUGUUUCCUAAACUGUUUUAUGUAUAUUAAUGUAUAUUUCUUUUUGUUAUAUAGUCCUCAUGAGACCUCACUCUCAACAGUCUUGCUUUAUUCAUCUUUAUAAUCCCAGAGUUUAUAUGAGAAUGGCAUUCAGGAAAUGUUGGAUAAACACCAAAAUAAGCAAAAAGGUUUAUAUGGAGUAAAAUGUUUUGUGGUCAAAUAAGUAUGUGAAACCCUGACUUAAAUAUAUUUCUUUUCUCUAUGAUUUCUCUGAACCUUGAGUAUGAUGUCGUAUACAGAAACAUAUAUAAAUUUAGGCUUAGGAAAUAUCAUGUUCUGCAUGUAGAAAGAUAUAAUAUGUAAUAUUUUCUAAGCCUCAUUUAUACUAGCAUUUUUAAUUCUUGCAGAGAUUCUCAUGAGACUAGAAUUCUUAAGGCAUUUUUAGCAAGUGUUGAUAUAGAACUCCUUGGUAUGUGAUUUUUCUCAUUUAAUUAGAUGUUAUUGCUAUUUAUUUUAACAUUCAGUUGUUUUAUCUUUACCAGAUGGGAACCGAUAGCCAAAACCAGAUUCUUUUAGAACAUACUGCUCUGAGAGAAACAGUUAAUGCUUUGAUCAGUGACCAAAAGCUACAAGAGAUAUUCAGCCGAGGUAAGAACAGGUAGUCUUCUGUCCCUGAACUCUGAAUCAGGUGAAUUGUCAGUUUUGAAUGAUAUAAUGGGACAUCAUGUAGCUUUAAACAUUUGUCCUCAUCCUCUUUUUGUGAGUAGAGACGAAAGUAUCUCCGAUUAGCUAAAUCUCCAAAUAAACUAGAAAAAUAGGAUCUCUCCAAGACCAUUGUUUUCUCUCUCUCUCUUUUUUUUUUUUUUUAAUAUUUUUUUUAUUUGUUGAUGGACCUUUAUUUUAUUUUAUUUUUUGUGGUGCUGGAAAUCAAACCCAGUGCCCUGCAUGUACGAGGCAAGCGCUCCACUGCUAAUCUACAACUCCAGCCCCCCAUUGUUUUCUCUUCAUUGUACUUUUCAUAAACCAUAGUUUUGUUGUAAGCUUAGUUUUUUUUCCCCAUUUUUAAAAUAUUUAUUAAGGACACUAGAAAUAUUUAUUUAAAAACAUGCACUAGAAACAAUGUUAAGGCACUAAUGAUCUAGCCAGUAGCUAGAAAAUCUUUACCUAUUUUUUUUUUUUUUUAAUACACCCAAGGGCGCUUAACCACUGAGCCACAUCCCUAGCCCUUUUUUUUAAUUAUUUUUUAUUUUGAGACAGACUCACUAAGUUGUUUAGGGCCUUGCAAUCCUCCUGACUCAGCCUCCUGAGUUGCUGAAAUUACACACAUGUGCCAUUGUGCCUAGAGCUGACUCUGCUUUUUUUGAAUUUACUAUCUGCAGGUUUCUAAAAAAUCUAGGACUAGCUGGGUGUAGUGGCUUACACCACUAAUUUGGGCAACUUGGACAGCUGAGGCAGGAUUGCAAGUUCCAGGCCUAUCUCAGCAAUUUAGUGAAACCCUCAGUAACCUAGUGAGAUUCUGUCGCAAAAUAAAAAAUAGAAAGGUCUGGGGAUGUAGCUCAGAAAUGAAGCACUCCUGCGUUCAAUCCUCAUUACCAAAAAGAAAAAGCUAAAGACUCUUAACACCAACAUAUAACUUAGAGUGCAAAGUAUGUUCAUAAAACAAUGCAUCCACAGACUUAUUCACAUGAAUAGUAUGCUUUAAGUAUAAAUAAAUGAACAUAGGGUGUAGCUCAGUGGUAGAGUGCUUUUGCCCAACAUGCCAUAGCCCCUGGGUUUGAUCCUUAGUAACAAACAAACAAACAAAAACAGAAAGAAGAAUUAUUAGUUUUCAAGUUCAGAUACCGGUUUUGCCUCAAGAGUCUAUACGAAGAGUAAACUACUUCAUUUAUCCUUCCUUUCAUGUCAUGCAUUCACUCACCUUCAUUUCUGGGCCUUAUGAUAAUCAUUAUUUUUAGUGAAGUAGUGUCCUUGGUUCUAUUUUUGUCAAAUAAAUCUAAACAGGUGAAGUUAAGAAUACUGACCUAAUGGAGAAAAAAAGAUAUCAGGAUAAAAUGAUGUUUAAUAAACAAGGAAUGAUAUAGAGGAAGAAAGAAUGUGAGGAAAAAUUAGUAACAGAAGAAAAUUGAGUGGACAAAAUGAGAGGUGGUGAUAUGUGAGUAUAUACAGAGAAAUUAAGGAAACUUAAUUAUAGCUCUAAGAAAAUAAUCUAAAAUUAGUAAUGCUUUAGCUAUAUAGUCUCAAAUGUACAAUGAUAUGUGGGAGAGAGAAACUGUCCUUGGAAAGACCAGCUGAAAUUGCAGGGUAACAUUACCUGCUGAUAAAGUAAUAUUUUUGAAACUCUGUGUUCCUAGGAAGACAGGUGCUAUAUUUGUUCAGACUAUUAUUAGUGCAGAGGCUAGAAACCUCAUAAAUUGAACUCUCAGCUGUUAUUGAAAGUCAGAUAGCAGAAUGUUAAUGAUUAUGUAUCAUUCCUGUGGUGGUUUAUCCUAAUAGCACAUCCAAUGGGACUGGGGGUUUAGCUUAGUGGCAGACAUGUACAAGGCUCUGGGUUUGAUCCUCUGCAGCACAAAUAAAAAAGAAAAAGAGUACAUUCAACUUAGUGGUCUCCUACUUUUUUCAUACACAUGUCAGGUAUAUGAGUAAAUUUCCAUAUUACUUGUUGUUGUUGUUGUUGUUUUAAUUUGUAAGUUUCUUUCCCUUUGAAUAUUACAAUUAUUAAAUUGUUGAAUAUAGGGGCUAGGGAUGUUGCUCAAUAUCAGAGUGCUUCCCUGGGAUGUAUGAGGACAAGGGUUCUAUCCCAACAUCUCAAAAAGACUCAAUGCUGAGUGUGGUAAAUCUAGAAUUGCUACUUUGUUAGCUCUGUCAAGGGGCAGAUAUUUGAAAGUGCCAAGUAUUUCCAUCAUGUAGUUUUCCUUUUGCUUUCAGAAACAGUUAUGAAACAUAACUUAGCCAAAAAUACAGUUUUGACUGAUCUCUUUUUUAGGUCCCUACAGUGUUCAAGGUCACAGGGUCAAAGUGUACCAGCCAGAGGGGGAAGAAGGGUGGAUCUAUGGUGUCGUAAGUCAUCAGGACUCCAUCACCCGUCUUAUGGAUGUGUCUAUAACUGAGGUGAGGCUGUGUUAAUUCCAUCUAAAUUCUAUCAGUCCCCUUACAGAGCAUGGUGUAAAGAAUGUGAAUACUUUAUCCCUGGCUCUUAUCAUUUAAUGAUUGUAUAACCCUUAGAAGGGGUGUGCAACUUUAUCAUCCCACUGUUCUCAUCUUUAAGUUAGAAGUAAUUGUGUAAAACCCCACUUACCUCACAAUACUGUUUUGAAGACUGAAAUAAUAUAUUUAAAAGUGCUUUGAAAUCUGUAAAACAAUAUGCAGUUGUAAGGUGGUAAUAUUUAUCAUAUUCAUAACAGUUUGUAUUAAAGACCAAUUAGUUAGCAUUGGCUUCUGUAUUACUUUUGCCACUAUAUCCUAGAUGCUGAAAAAAAUUGCUUUUAAUGAACAGAAAAGAACCUAACACCUAAGAGAUACCUGGAGAAUUAUUUAGGAGAAACAGUAGAUGAGUGUUUCUUUUUUUUUUAAUUUAUUUUUUUGGUUGUAGUUGUUAUUUAUUUCUUUCUUUAAUUUUUUUAAAAGUUAAAUAAAUCUUCAUUUAAAAAUUUCAAAAAACAUACAUACAUAAACUAGAUAAUGAAAGCCAACCUUUCCCCUAUGUAAAUGUCACUCAGUGGCAACCACCAUUAACAGUUUGGUAUAUAUUCCAUAUUCUUUUUAUUUUUUGUUUAUUUAUUUUUAGUAUUUAUUUUUAUGUGGUGCUGAGGAUGGUACCCAGUGCCUCACACAUGCUAGACAAGUGCUCUCCCAUUAAGCUAUAUUCCAUAUUCUUCCAAAUAUUUUCUAUAUAUGUAUUUCUGUAGGUUAUAUAGUGUAUCUUAUUUACUUAAUUGUAUAUAACCUCCAUUUUUUUUUUCUUUUUUUUUUUUUUCCUGAUACUGGGGACUGAACCCAGGGGCACUUUACCGCUGAGCUACAUCUCCAGCGUUUUUCUUUUUUGUUGUUGUUGUUUUUUUUUUGUUACUUUGAGAUAGUGUCUUGCUAAAUUGCCAAGGUUGGCCUCAAACUUGCAAUCCUCCUGCCUCAGUCUCCUAAGUUGUUUGGAUUACAAAUAUGUGCCACUAUACUUGGUUUAUAACAAGCAUUUUUAAUCUUUAUUUGUGAAUAUAGAGAUGUGAAUUUUUUUUUUUUUUUUUUUUUUUCUCCUUUAUGGUACUGGGGAUUGACAAUACCCCAGCAGUUCUUUUCACUGAGCUACAUUCUGGGCCUUUUUAAAUUUUUAUCUUGAGACAUGAUCUCGCUAAGUUGCUGAGGCUGGCCUUGAACUUGGAAUUCUUCUGCCUUAGUCUCUCAAUUUGCUGGAAUUAGAGACAUGUGCCACUGUGCCCAGCUGACUUAUUCCUUUAAAAUAGAUGUGUGCUAUUCCAAAAAAUGAAUAUAUCAUAGCUAGUUUAAUCUAAAAUUGAAGGACAUUUAAAUCUUUGCCAGUAUUUUCACUAAUACAGAUGAUGACACAGUGAACAUACUUGAACAUCCUUUCACAUUUAUGAUUUAUUGGAAUAAAUUCCUUGGUUUGUAAUUGCUAAGUUAAAAGAUAUACAUAGUAAAAAAAAAUUUUGUGUGUGUGUUGUUGUACUGGGAAUUGAACUCAGGACCUCAUACAUGCUAGGCAAGUGCUCUACAACUGAGCUAUAUCCCCAGCCCUACACAGUAAAUUUGAUGUUUUAUGUCAAAGUACUCCCUCUCCUAAAGUUUGUAUUCUUUAGUAGUAAAGUAGGUUUGUUUGUUUUGGGUGUUUUUUAUUGUUUUGGUUUUUGUGGGUUUGGGGUUUUUUGUUUUGUUUUGUUUUGUUGGUGGUACUGGGAAUUAAUCCCAGGGUCUCAAAUAUGCUCUAUCACUGAGCUACAUCCCCAGCCCUAUAUAAUGAUUUUUGUAAUGAUUGUUGUUGGUUCUGAAGAUUUUUGAUUUCAUAAUAUACUGAAUAGGAAUGUUUUUGAUAUGGAAUAUUUCAAAUUAAAAUCCCUAAAAGACAUACUUGAGCAUUAAACUCAAUUGUUCCUUUUAUUCAUGAACUUAACAAAUAUAUUAAUGCUCACCAUAUUCCACACCGUGUUUCAGAUAUCCUUACUAUAGCAGUGAUUGAGACAGUAAAUAUCCCUUCUCUCAUGGAGCUUUCUUCUAAUAAGGGAAUAGAAGCAAUAAAGAGAUACUUACAUAGAUUAGGAAAAUGUUAAGUCUUGGUGAAUAAAGCAUUAAAUAAUCUCUCUCCCCCACCCUUUUCCCAUAUGUUCUGCUAUCCUGCUGCUACCAUAGAGUGGUGAGAUCAAGUCAGUAGAUCCCAGACUCAUCCAUGUGAUGCUGAUGGAUAACACAACGCCUCAAAAUGAGGUACAGUAAACAACUGAGUCUCUGAGAAGACUCAUGAGCUUGCAUUUUCUUGUUAUGUGGUUUCCUUUUACAUGGGUGCUGCUUGGGUUGUUCAGAUGGACUGUCUUGGUAAGGGUGGAUGGUGUCAAGAAAGAGACCUAGUUUGAGUAAACCCUUUCAAUUUGACUUGUUCUAUAGUUGUUAUAAAGUCUUAAGUCCUAACUUUCUUUUAUAUUUUCUUAAGUAUAUUUGAAAGAGGUAGUAGUUAAAACUGCAAUAAAUGGUAGUAAUAAUCAUGACCUUACCAGUAACUAGAUAUGGAAGAAAAGCUACAUCCUCUUUUUUCCUAUUAGGUGGCACUGAGCUCCAACAGAGUCUUUUUUACUUUUUAUCUUGAGACAGGAUCUCGCUAAGUUGCUGAGGCUGGCCUUGAACUUAGCAUUCUUCUGCCUUAGUCUCUCAACUUGCUGGAAUUAGAGGCAUGUGCCACAAUAGAUGUAUGCUAUUCCAAAAGAUGAAUAUAUCAUAACUAAUUUAAUCUAAAAUUGGAGGACAUUUAAAUCAUUGCCAGUAUUUUCACUAAUACAAAUGACAACACAAUGAACAUACUUGAACAUCCUUUCACAUUUAUUGUUUAUUGGAAUUAAUUCCUUGGUUUGCAAUUGCUAAGUUAAUAGAUAUACAUAGUAAAAAAAAAUUUUUUGUGUGAGUUAUUGUACUGGAGAUUGAACUCAGGACCUCAUACAUGCUCAUAUAUUCCCAAGUAGAAUCAAAUGAACAGGUGCCUAGUUCAGUGCUUAGCACACAGUGGAUUAUUCUAUAAUUAUAGACUAAGCCAACACUUGGUUCAUUUAGAAUUAUUAUAGCCAAAAAUAAAUAAAUAAGCGCAUUAUAAAUCUUUACCUGAACCAAUAAGGAAUCCUGUGUGAGUAUCCUUCAGUAAAUCAACUGUCCACACAUGCCUCAUAGUAUCUUAUCACCUCUAUAAAUAUUGCUUUCUUGCUGAGUAUAUAGUCCUUCAUCAUCUUUUUUAUUAGUUAUUCUUGAUUUAAAAAAAAAAAAGAUCAGACUAAGAAAGGAAGAAUCAGUAUUAAAUUUAAUAGCUUUUUAUUUAUGUAUUAUAUUAAUCAGGAAUAGGUUAAGUCCCUUGACUAUGUUUACAUGGCUGAAAAACCUGUUACUUUGAUGUUGCAUUGGGCUCUAUUUUUAGUCCAUUAUUUCACUCAUUCAUUAAGCACCUAUUGUAUGCCAAAUAGUAUACAGCUAGCCCAGUAUAACUGAAAAGUACUAUACUCAGUGUCCUAGGUUACUUUCUUGCAUGUGAGUAGUUCAUUAUAAGUUAUUUUGGGAAUGGUUGCUGUGAGCCAGGUUCUUCAAGUUGACUGCAUGAGUUAGAAGUGGAAGUGUGGUUGUUAGCAGUAAAUUUUGAUUUUUCCUUUUUGGCUUUGCCAUGAUGUGACAUCUUCUUUUGUUUGUUUUUUCCCCAGUAUCAGGGAUUGAACCCAGGGGCACUUAACCACUGAGCCACAUCCGCAGUCCUUUUUCGUGUUUUAUUUAGAGACAGGGUCUCACUGAGUUGCUUAGGGCCUAACUAAGUUACUUAGGCUGGCUUUGAACUUGGAAUCCUUCUGCCUCAGCCUCCUGAGCUGCAUGCUCAGGUAUGCGCCACUGUGCCCAACUUGACUUUUAUUCUUGGCUAGCCAAAUUCAAUUACAGUUUGCCAGGUUUUCCAGUAACCCUUCUUAGAGAUCUGUGAUUGCCUCAUCUCCUUUAACAGUGAGUAUAAGAGAAUAAGCAAGAAAGAAAAGAAAGAUUUCAGCUAAGCUCAGUGGCACAUGCCUAUAAUCUCAGAUUUGAGAGGCUGAGGCAAGAGAAUCACAGGUUUGAGACCAGCUUCAGGAUUUUAGUGAAACUCUUAUCAAAACAUAAGUAGGGCUAGGGAUGUAACUCAGAGGUAAAGUGUCCUGGGUUCAAGUCCCAUUACCAGAAAUAAAAUAAAGGACAAAAAAUGCCCAUCCUCAAGUUUACCCUUUUUAUUUAUUUAUUUGGUACCAGGGAUUGAGCCCAGAGGCAUUUAACUAUUGAGUCACAUCCCCAGCUCUUUUUUAUAUUUUAUUUAGAGACAGGGUCUUACUGAGUUGCUUAGGGCCUUGCUAAAAUCGCUGAGGCUGGCUUGAAAUAACAAUUCUCUGCCUCAGCCACCUGUACUUUACCCUGUAAUUUAAGAAGAAAGUAAAAAUAAAAAACUGAUGGUAAUCCAGGUUGAAGAAAAGAUAAAGUUUUAAAAGAGAAUGGAUGAAUUUAAGCUGGGCAUGGUAGUGCAUGCCUGUAAUCUCAGCUACUUGGGAGGAUGAGGCAGGAGGAUUAAGAGUUCUAGCCCAAUUUGGGCAACAUAGCAAGAGCCUGUCUCAAAGAGGAUGAAAUGAAAACAACGUUUAGCAAACAGUUUUUGAAUGAUUUGAAAAACUUGGGUAAUAUUGCCAGAAGUAUGUUACUUAUUAUUAUAUUACUUAAUACUAUAUAUUUAGAAAUACAGAUAAUAUUCAGAAGUAGGGUGGAAAUGGAAGUAAAUCUUGAGCCUUAAGACUUGGGCGGGGGCUGGGAUUGUAGUUUGGUAGUAGAGCGCUUGUCUAGCAUGUGUGAGGCACUUGGGUUGGAUACUUGGCACCACAUAAAAAUAAGUAAAUAAAAUAAAGACUUGUAGGGGAAGCUAGGUACAGUGGUACAAGCUUGUAAUCCCAGGGGCUUAGGAGGCUGAAGCAGGAGGAUCACAAAUUCAAAGCCAGUAUUGGCAACUUAGCGAAACCCUGUGUCAAAAUAAAAAAUAUAAAGGGAUGAGGAUGUAGCUUAGUGGUUCAAUACCCAGUACCCCCCAAUAUAUGGGGGGCUGUUUUAUAUAUAUGAAUGACUUGUAGGGGAAAUUAAAGGAGAAACACUAGAUAGGAAGACAGCAAAAAGGAAAAGUACUGAAACUAUUACUAAGAAGAUAAGAAAUUUAAAAUUCAUAAAACAUUUCCAUUGAAAAGCUAUAGUAAUGAUUACAAGAAAGAAAAUAGAUCUAUAAAUAAUACUGCCCAAAGUAUUAAAGGACAGUAAGAAUAAAUUAAUGAAGUUUAUAAAUAUUAAUACCUAGAUAACAAUGUUUCACUAGCUUAUUAACCAUCUUAGCACAUGUUUUUGAAAUACCUUCUUCAUAUAAGUCCUUGAUGCACAAAAAAGAUUGCUGUAGAGAAUGUUAGCUGCACCUCAUGCCCCAUUCUCCUUAUCCUUCUCAGGGAAGGAGUUUACUCAGAAUGGGUAUUUUCUCUUUUAAUCCAUAUCUUGUCUGGCCUUUCAAAUAAGGUGCAAGUAAAAUUUUCUGAGAUAGAUAGUCUGACAUUACCAGAAGAUAGAAGAGAUUUGGCUUUUGGCCUGUGGUAGCCUGCUUUUUUCCCCCUUUCCUCUGUUUAAUGCUUUGAAAUAAGGUCUGGAGAUCAAUUGAAUCUUUGUAGUGUCUGUGAGCUAUCAGCUUCACUUUUCCUUUGCUCAUAGAUUUACAAAUACUGGUAAUCAAAUACUGGUUUUAGUGACUUUUGGUUAAAAGGAAUUUUGUAUGUUAAUACUUGAAGUACAAGUUUCUGUCAAAACCAAGAGAUAAAGCAAGUUAUUUCCUCAGUGUACAAAUAAGCUUCUAGCCUAGCCUGGCAUUUUAUUUUGUAAAAAUAAGUUCCACAAAUUAUAAAACCCAUCAAAAAAUAAAAUACCAUUUGAAGUAGUUUAUUUAUUGUAAGAGAAGAUUUGCCAAGAGAGUUAACCUCUGGUAACUGUUAUCUUGAAUGUGUGUAUAAAUGGGAUUACAGGGAGAUUGGAGCUUUUUGACAAAGGGUCUUAGAGCUGGCAUCAGAAUUUGGCAAUCUUUGCCUGCUUUUUCUGUUUCUAGAGAUGGGAAAGAGCUAAUGGAUUAUGGUUUUCACAGGAUGAAAGGUCCUUUAUAAUAAAUCUUUUUUGAAUUUUGUUUUGUAGGGGGGUACGUUAAAAGCAGUAAAAUCUUCCAAAGGAAAGAAGAAGAGAGAGAGCAUAGAGGGGAAAGAUGGCCGGAGGAGGAAAAAUGCUUCGGACUCUGGGUGUGACUCUGCAUCAAAGAAAUUAAAAGGAGACAGGGGUGAAGUAGACAGUAAUGGGAGCGAUGGAGGUGAGGCAAGCCGAGGGCCCUGGAAAGGAGGUAAUGCCAGUGGAGAGCCAGGGCUGGAUCAGAGAGCCAAGCAGCCACCAUCUACAUUUGUUCCCCAAAUUAACCGCAACAUUCGCUUUGCCACUUACACCAAAGAAAACGGCAGGACUCUGGUGGUACAGGAUGAGCCCGUAGGUGGGGACACACCUGUACCUUUCACUCCAUAUUCUACAGCCACAGGUCAGACACCUUUGGCCUCAGAGGUGGGUGGAGCCGAAAACAAAGAGUCAGGAAAAACACUGGAACAAGUUGGCCAGGGCAUGGUGGCUUCAGCAGUUGUGGUCACUUCCGCCAGCUCCACCCCAACCACGGUGAGGAUCUCAGACACUGGCCUUGCAGCAGGGACUGGGCCGGAAAAACAGAAAGGCAGCCGGUCACAGGCCUCAGGAGAGGUGAGUUGCUCUAGGGGCAGAUUUGCUAGAUUUGUGUUUACUCUCUCACCCUUCCUUAUUGUUAACACCUUCACAGACAUCUCAAAUGCCCUAAGGAAGGAAUAUUUCUGAGAUAUGCUUAAAUUAUAUUCUGUGGCUAGGCCUUUACUGCUCUCCUUGAGCAAAUGUGUACAUUUUAAUAACUUUAUCAGUUUUUAAAAGCCACUUGAACAUCUGGACUCAGCUGCGCAUACCUGUAAUCCCAUCAAUUUAGGAAUCAGAGGCAGGAGGAUUACAAGUUUAAAGCCAGCCUCAACAACUUAGUGAGGUCUUCUCUCAAAAUAAAAAUUGACUGGGAAUGUGGCUCAGUGGUUAAGUGCCCCUGGGUUCAAUCCCCAGUACAAAAAAAAAAAGUCACCUGAACAAUUGGGCUAAUCAAAAACUGGUUAUACAACCCAAUUUAAUGAGAUUUAAAAUAGAUCUGAUGGGGAAUCUUUUUAAUUCAAUUAUCUAUUUAGUUCACCAAGUAGUUGAACCUCCACCAAAUCUGAGAGGCAAGAUUAAUGAAUUAUAGUGUUGGUAAUAGUGAACACUAUAAUUAAGGCUGUGAGUCCAAGCUACCAUUACCCUAUUUUCAGUUCAUCAUUUUCUGUGAUAUUUUCCCUUGAGUCUAGGUUACUUUCCAUCGUUUAGUAUGGCCAUAAAAGUUUUUCCCUCACUAAUUUCAUUCUUUUAAUAAGCCUUACUUGAUGGAUUUAAUCAUAACAGUUAUUGCUUUGGUCUUUAUCUGAUAGGAUUUUUUUUUUUUUUUUUUUGCUAAAAUGGAACUUUUGUUAAAUGUAAGUUAAUGUCAAGUUGACACUGCAAUCCAAAUUUAAGACAGUAUCAAAAUCUAUUCUUUUGGUACUAGGGGCUGUGGCUCAAUGGUAGAGCGCUUGCCUGGUACGUGUGAGGCACUGGGUUUGAUCCUCAGCACCUCAUAAAAAUAAAAACUAAAAGCCAGGCAUGGUGUUGCAUGCCUGUAAUCCCAGCGGUUUGGGAGGCGGAGGCAGGAGAAUCACAAGUUCAUAGCCAGCCUCAGCAAUUCAGCAGGGCACUAAGCAACUCAAUGAGACCCCAUCUCUAAUAAAAAACAAAAUAGGGCUGGGGAUUUGGCUCAGUGGUCUAGUGCCCCUGAGUUCAAUCCCUGAUACCAUAAAUAAAUAAAUAAAUAUGGGGGGGGUUUUUGUCCGUCUACAACUAAAAAAAUAUAUAUUUAAAAAUUGAAUUUCUUACUGAUUUUGGUCACCAAACUGAUUCACAUAGGCCAACUCAAGCUAGAGUAUGAAGUGAAAAGAUGAAAUGCAUAAUGAUUUUUUUAAAGUACAUAAGCCAGCCAUGGAGGCACGUGCAUAUAGGCCCAGCUACUCAUGAGGCUGAGGCAGGAGGAUCAUUUUAGCCGAGGAAUUUGAGGCCAGCCUGGACAACAAUGAGACCCCAUCCAAAAAAAAAAAGCAAAAUAAUAUAUAGGAAACUACUGUGUGCUAAGUACUGUGCAUUAUAAAUAUUUUAAAUCACUACUUAAAGGAACCCACACACCAAAAUAGGAUAAUUUCAGGUAUAACAACACAGAUAAAGCAUGACAUAGGACUGGGUGAUAUGGUUUAAUAGAAAAAAAUCUUGCCUAGCAUGCAUGAGGCCUUGUGUUUGAUCACCAGCCCCACAAAGAACAAAACAAAGCAAACAAAAAACCCAUGGUAUAUAAAUUUCAUCUGACUAAUUCCUAAUUCUAGCAAAUACAAUGUGUUAACCCCUAAUAUAUAGGAAUAGAGAGCGAGAUGAAAUGCCUAGGUAAAAGAGGACUGUAAAUGCAAAUUUCACACUGUUUAUGAUUUUUUCCUCAGUUAGUUGACCUAUAGUCCCAAAAGAACCAGGUGAGGAUCAUAGAUGAGUUUCCAAUGUGUAAAAAAAAAAAAAAAAAAAUCUUCAUAAUUUCUGCACCAUUUAAAAUCAACUCUGUGUUAAGGCAGUAUGAAUGUAAAUGAGAAUUACAAAGUAAACCAAAUUUGUGACCUACAAGAAAAGAUCCAGUGAAUGUCACUGUUCUUGGAGUAGCAAAGCUGAUAGAUGAAAUGUGGAGUCAAUAUUUUUUUCAAAUAGGUUGUAGAAACUUCUGUGAAUAUCAUUUUGCUCAUGUUUUAGCCUCUUUCUGCAGUAUGAUUUAAAAUUACAGACAUGAAUGUUUCUGUUACAAUUCUUAAUCUGAAAUAGAGAAAUAGUUACCAGGACUUUCUUGCCCUAAAAGCUGGAGUUGAAAUCAGUUUGUCAUCGCUUUCUUAUAAGGAAAGGAUUUGGAAUUUGAUCAUUUAAAAGAAAAUGAAAGACCAUCCAAAUUAUUUUUCAUUCAUGUGUGUAUUUAUUUUUAAAGGAUAAUGUUAGUAGUAAAACAUGAGCUACUCGUGCAGGUUUCUUGCAGUCAUACAGAUGUCCAGGCUCUGAGCCAAUCCUGCUAGUGAAACAACAGCAAAAUCUCAGGGCUGUGUCAGUCUUAUUUUGGGUGGUGGGGGCAGGGGGGCAUCUUAAAUCAAUGCUUUUGUAGUUAGUAAGAAAAAAAAAUGAACUUUAAUUUUUUAACUCUAAAAUCUGUCAACAGAUGUCAACUGCAAGCAAGCCAUAGGAAGUGUCCCUGGUUCUUCUCCUUCUAUGUCACCUUUAAGGAUAUUUAGCAUUGUAUCAUUUUAAAAUGUAUGAUUCUUUGGCAUGUAGUACAUUCACCAUGUUAUAAAACCACUACCACUAUGAGAUCCAGAAAUUUUUCUCCUUUAAAAUAAAACCCCAUAUUCAUUCAGCAGUGAUGGAAUAAUUUUUUAUUUCCAAUGUUUACAAAUGAAUGUUUAGGUAUCAUUCUCUACUACUUGAAAGUUGGUUGGUGUUUUUGUUUUGUUUUGUUUUAGUUAAUCUACAUUUCAAGUCAAGUGCUAGGAUCUGAGUUUUAUUAAAUUAACGAGUACUACAUAAGGGCUCAUAGCUACCUAAGAGUGUCUCUGUGUGUGCAUAUGGGUACAUAAUGUAUAUGAAAGUGCCCCUACCCUUAUUUAUACAUAUAUUCAUUCACAUGCAGAAGUUAACAUGGGAAGCAUUAUAUAACAUUUUAUUUUCCAAUUUGUUAGGCUAAGUGUUUUUAUUUGGUGAAUAUUUCAGUAAUGUACAUUUUUCCUUUGGGGACUUUUGUUAGAUCAUAAUUAUAACAGAAGAUCUCAAUGGAUAGCUUUCUUUAUUUUAGCAUCUUUAGGAGUAAUAUUAAUUGCAAAUUUUAGGUAGAUUUAAACCAAUAAAUGGCCAGUUUCCAAAAGGAUCCUUUUGUGGAGUUUCAGAUUAAUAAAGAUACUUUUUCUUUAAUAAGUGGGCUUAUCAUAGAAGUGAAGUUACUUUCUAUAAGAUGAAGAUAUUUGCAAUAGCUUAAAUAAAUCAAAACUUUGUAGUUUCUAAGGUCAUUCAGAUAGAUUGAUAUUACAGAGGUCACUAGGUAAAUUUCAAAGUAAAAGCUGUCAUCAGGAAUCUUCCCACAGUUCCCUAACAGAGUCUCUGUUUUCAAAUACUGUAAAUACUAAAAAGCCUACACACCUUUCUAGAACUGACCCAUUGGGUAACAACUAAAGGAGAGGCAGGUUGAAUGACAUCUCUGGCUCAUCUUGCUAGAGUUAAAAUGCCCUCUGUGGUUUAUGGCAAGUUUUUUCCCUUCCAUUGCUGGUGAAAUCCAGAAGAGCAAAUAAGUAGAAUUGUAGGAGAGAAAAGUUGAUUGAUCAAUUGAUCAAUAAUAAAUAUUGAUUCAAUGAUAGGACAAGAAAGAGCUCAUUAGGUUGUCAUCUGAAGCCAGUGUCACUAAUUCAGGCUAUCUUCCUUUCAGAAUUCAAGAAAUUCUAUUCUGGCCUCUUCUGGAUUUGGAACAUCUCUCCCAAGUUUAUCACAACCAUUGACUUUUGGAAGUGGAAGGAGCCAGUCCAAUGGGGUUUUAGCUACAGAGAACAAACCUUUGGGCUUCUCUUUUGGCUGUAGCUCUGCUCCAGAGUCUCAGAAAGAUUCUGAUCUCUCCAAAAACUUGUUUUUUCAAUGCAUGUCCCAAACGUUACCCACCAGUAACUACUUCACUACGGUUUCAGAGAGUUUGGCUGAUGAUUCCUCUAGUCGGGACUCAUUCAAACAAAGCCUUGAGAGUCUGAGCUCAGGCCUGUGCAAAGGCAGAUCCACUCUUGGAGCAGACACUAAGCCAGGCUCUAAGGCUGGCAGCGCUGUGGACCGGAAAGUGCCUGCAGAGUCCAUGCCCACCCUUACUCCAGCCUUCCCCCGGAGCCUCCUAAAUACCCGCACCCCAGAGAGUCAUGAAAAUCUAUUUUUACAGCCCCCUAAACUGUCCCGAGAAGAGCCUUCUAACCCUUUCCUGGCAUUUGUGGAGAAAGUUGAACACAGUCCUUUCAGCAGCUUUGCAUCUCAGGCAUCAGGUAGCUCUUCCUCUGCUACCACUGUCACCUCCAAGGCAGCAACCGGCUGGCCCGAGCCUCACUCGUCUGCAGAUUCAGCAUCUUUAGCAAAGAAGAAAACCCUCUUCAUUACAACUGAUUCCUCCAAGCUGGUGUCUGGUGUUCUAGGCUCAACUCUUACCACUGGGGGUGCAAGCCUCUCUGCCAUGGGGAAUGGCCGCUCCAGCUCACCCACCAGUAGCCUCACCCAACCCAUUGAGAUGCCUACUCUCUCCUCAAGCCCCACAGAGGAGAGGCCAACUGUGGGACCUGGGCAACAGGACAAUCCCCUCCUCAAAACCUUUAGUAACGUCUUUGGCAGGCACUCGGGCUGCUUUCUGUCCUCCCCAGUAGAUUUUUCGCAGGAGAACAAAGCUCCUUUUGAAGCUGUGAAAAGGUUCUCACUGGAUGAGCGAAGCUUGGCUUGCAGACAGGACUCAGACUCUAGCACCAACAGUGACCUGUCAGAUUUGAGCGACUCAGAGGAACAGCUGCAGGCCAAGACAGGCCUGAAGGGGAUUCCAGAACACCUGAUGGGGAAGCUGGGCCCCAAUGGGGAGCGUAGUGCGGAGCUGUUGUUGGGCAAGGGCAAAGGGAAACAGGCCCCUAAAGGCCGACCUCGGACUGCACCCUUGAAAGGUGAUCCUGCUAGGGACUAUACGUGGGCUUUGCUCUGGCACUUGCCUCAAAAUGCUUGUGCUUUUGUGCGGCAGAUGCCUUCAUAUUGAUGGAAAGUUCUAGAAUCUUAUAGAAUUAUAGAGGCAAAGAACCUGGCAGAGGCACCUUAUCAAACUUGGUUGAAUCUAUACCAGCAAUGUAAAAGGGUUAUCUGCUCAUAAAAGAGGACUAUUCAUCUUCAUUAGCUUGUUGUUUUUAAUUAGAAACUAUAUGUCCUUGUGUUGAUUUCAUUCCUUUCUAUUUCAUCAUCUUUAAUUUGCUUCCAGGGAGUUACUAAGAAUUAGUUUUCAUUCCCAUAUUAGUUUUCAUCCCUUUGUAGACUUGAUGAAACAAAAAGAUUCACUCCCUUGGUUUGUUCCUCUCUGAAAUGUAAGGAUUUUUAACGCCUCUACCAAAAAUCUAUGAAUUUAUGAUGUGAGGUUAUGGUCUAGAAGUGUAUAAGAGAAAGUCUGGUGGUAAAAGUAGCUGCUUUCAUUAGGAAUUGAUAUCCUGUGAGAGCCCAAAAAGCCUAGAUUAACAGUAGGCAUAUACUGAGUGUCUAAGGGCAGGUGAUGACUACCUUCUGCUGCAUGAGGCACAUACAGUUCUCCUUAGCUCCCAACCAAAGCCUCUUUGUUCCUUGCUCUUCCUUUCUGGGUUCAUGGUAGAUUAUGUGCCCAAGCAGUGCAAAGAGGAAUAGCCCUUUGACCAGUGUUUGUUCACAUGAGGAGUUUGUUAGUGGACCCUACUUAUGCUUCUUCUGACAGCCUUUUCUCCUCCCUUCCUUGCCACAGUUGGCCAGUCAGUGCUGAAAGAUGUGAGCAAAGUGAAGAAGCUCAAGCAGUCUGGAGAGCCCUUUCUACAGGAUGGGUCAUGCAUCAAUGUGGCACCUCACCUGCACAAAUGUCGUGAGUGCCGCCUGGAGCGGUAUCGAAAGUUUAAAGAACAGGAACAAGAUGAUUCUACUGUAGCCUGCCGCUUCUUUCACUUCCGGAGGUACCUAAAUUCCUCUCCUUGCUGUCAUUCCCAGUUUUCACUAGUGCCAUAUAAUUCCCACUCUUUCUCUAAAUCUAUAAAUUUGUCUUUCUCAGUUUUCCAUAACCCCUAUGCUCACAGGGUGUAUGCUGAGGCUUUGUUGUAGUAAUUACUUAGUUGUUGGAAAAUUAUCCGUGGGUUGGUCCUUGCAGGAUUGAAGUGGAGCAGUUUUAGCUGCUGCCAUGUGCUAUUCCUACUAAGCUGUUCCUAAGUUGGGUUCCAUUUGAAACCAGUGGUAUAAGCAGAAGAACUUCAUUUUAUUUUGGGAAUCUGCCUGACCACUUCUUCUUCUUCAGUGCUAGGGUGACUUGAGUCACUUAAGAGAAGUAAGAUUAGGAGAUGAUGUGAAGCACAUUUCUUUUUAUUUUCUCUCUCUCUCCCUUUUUUUUUUUUUUUGAGAUGAGUUUUUACUAUGUUGCCCAGGCUAUCCCUGAACCUGUAGGCUCAAACAAUCCUCCUGCCUCCGCCUCCUGAGUGCUAGGACUAUAGGUGCAUGUUACCCACUUGGCUCAAUGGAGUAUUUUUAAAAUAGAGAUAACUAAUGAAAACAGCAAUAUCUAAUCACUUUUCCUCUUCCUCUAUGAGAAACUUAGGAUCUGUCAAGGCUGAUUUUGUUUUGUUUUUGUUUAUUUGGCAAUACUGGGGAUUUAACCUGGGGGAUGUGGAGCUACAUCCCCAGUCUCUUUUUGUUUUUUGUUUUGAGACAGGGUCUUGCUAAGUUGUUGAGGCUGGCCUAAACCCAUGAUCCUCUAACCUCAGCCUCCCGCGUCAUUGGGAUUACAGGCAUGCACCACCAUGCCCAGCUAAGAAUCUUUCAUUUUUAAAAUUAAAAAAUCCAAAUGGCUGCUGGGCACAGUGGUACACGCCUAUAAUCCCAAUGGCUCGGGAGGCUAAGACAGGAGGAUCGCGAGUUCAAAGCCAGCUUCAGCAAAAGUGAGGCACUAAGGCUCAGUGAGACCCUGUCUCUAAAUAAAAAAAAGAAAAGCUGCUGAUCAGGGCUUGAGGUGUAGCUCAGUGGUAAAACAUUUGCCUAGAUGAGAAAAAUGUGGGAGGACCUGGGGUUUGAUCCCCAGCACCACCAAAAAAUAAAAUAAAAUAAAUAAAGGCUUAUUGGUGUGGAUGACCUUAUUUGGCAAAUAUUUAUUGAGCAUUUAAUAUGUGCCAGUCAUUAUUCUGAACAUUAAGGAUUCAGUAGUGAACAAAACAUUACAUUCUGGUCUCAGAAAGUUUAGGGAGGAAUUAAAGAAGCAGACAGACAAUAAGAGGAAAAAUAAAUUAAGUAAAUAUUAUGUCAAUUAGUAACUUGAGAAAAAUAAAGACGGGAAAGAGGAUUGAAAUUUCGGUAAGCUAGAGAGGCUACUAUUUUAAACCAGGUGAUCUGAGAAAGAGCAGGUUAAGGAAUGACCUAUUAGAGGUGAAAGAAUAAAGCCACACAGUUGUUAUUCAGGAGACAAGUAUUCCAGACAAGUGCUGCCAUUCUGAGACUGGAAUAUUCUUGAUACAUCCAUAGAACUAGUAUAGCUAAAAUAGAGUAAGCAAGGGGAGUAAUAGAGUUGAGAUCAAAGAAUUAAUGAUGAGUCUAGACUUAAUAGGGCUACUCUAAGGGCCUUGAUUUUUACUGUAAAUAAGAUGUUAUUCAAAAAAACAAAAAAGAAGUCAUUAGAGGUUUUGAGCUGAUGAGUAACACUGAUUAAUGUCACUUUAAGUUGGGCAUGGUGGUGCACAUUAUAAUAAUAGCUACUUGGGAGGCUGAGGCAGGAGGAUCACAAGUUCAACUUGGACAACUUGCUGAGACCCUGUCUCAAAACAGAUAAUAAAGGACUAGGGUUGUAGCUCAGUGGUAAUACGCUCCUGGUUUCAAUUCCCAAUUACCACCCACUGCUUUGACUACCUUUGUGGGAAUAGACUAUAUAUGAGGGCAAGGGGAGAAGCACAGAGAAGUUGAGAGACUAUUGAAGGCAGAGUACUCAGAAUUACCUGAUAGGCUAAAUUUGAAAUUUGAAAGAAUUUCCAGCUGGAGAGAUUGAAAUAACAGUUGGAUCUACACCUUUAGAGUUAAGGGAAGAGAUUCAACCUGGAGAUACAAAUUUAGAUAUCACCAGGGAUUUAAAGCCCAUAGUCUAAUUUGAGACCUCAGGAGUCAGCAUGUAGAUAAAGACCAGAAGCAGGGCUAGGGUUGUAGCUUAGUGGUAGAGAUCUCGCCUAGCAUGCACAAGGCACUGGGUUUGAUCCUCAGCACCACAUAAAUGUAAAAUAAAGAUAUUGUGUCCAUCUAAAAAUUAAAAAUAAAAAAAGAGUCUUAGGACCAGAAGCAUUCUGAGAACUGAGCUCUGGCAUUCUCCAGAAAUGGGAAGUAUUAAAAGGAAUUAGUAAAGGGGACUGAGAAAAGACAGCCACUGAGGACAGAAAAACAGGAAGGUCGGGUGCAGUGGUACAUGCCUAUAAUCCUAGCGACUCAAGAGGCUGAGGCAGAAGGAUUUCAAGUUUGAAACCAACCUCAACAACUUAGGCCCUAGGCAACUCAGGGAGACCUGUCUCAAAAUUAAAAUUUUUAAAAAGGGCUGGGUAUGUGGCUCAGUGGUUAAGUUCCCCUGGGUUCAAUCCCUGGUACAAAAGAGGGAGAGAAAGAGUGAGACAACUGAAGAAAGCACUUCCAGAAAGGAAUAAGGAACUAUGUCAAAUGCUGGCAGGUUGUGUAAGGAAAGGACUGAAAGUGACCUUUUGAUAGCAAGAUGAAAUGACCUUGUCAAAAGUAGUUUUGGUAGUUUGGUAGGCAGAAUGUCUUAUUGUACUGGAUUAGGGAAAACAUAAAGGAAAGGAAAUGGUAGCAGACUUGAAGGAAACUUGGGUCUAACAAGCCAAAAAAAAUGGAGGAGGAUGUGAGGUUGAGAGUAUUUUUGUAAUGGUUAUUGUAGCACGUUUAAAUGCUGAUUUUGUAGAGCAUUAAUAAAUGAUAAUUGGAACCAGGCUUGGUGGUGCAUGCUUGCAAGCCCAGUGGCUCGGGAGGCUGAGACAGGAGGAUUGUAGGUUCAAAGCCAUCCUGUACAACAGCGUAAGACCCUGUAUCUAAAUAAAAUACAAAAUAGGGCUGUGGAUAUGAUUCAGUGUUCAAGUGCCCCAGAAAAAAAAAAAAGAUUGGUAGAGAAAAAGCUAGAUGAUAUAGAAAAGAGGGAAAUUAGUGGAGGAGUGCCUUUGGGUUGGGGAAAAGGGACGGGUGUAGGUGAAGAUAUUAACUUUCAAAUGGACCUCAUUCAGAGCAGGAGAUCAAAUGAAGAACAUGGGCCCAUUUGCAGGAGAGUAUCCACACUUUGGAAUGUGUGGGAUGGGAGCUUGUGAACAAUCUCUUCUGGCUUGUACCAGUAGAACAGGAAGUGAGGUUCUCACAGGGAAUGUAAUUUCAGAAGUAUGAAAAGAAGGAGAGUAUGAAAAUAGGCAUCUAGGAGAGAGAAUCCUCCUGAGGUAGGUAUACAGGAAUUUUAUUUAUUUAUUUUUUUUAGUUUUAUUUUUUGUGGUACUGUAGAUCAAACCCAGGGCCUCACACAUGGUAGAUAAGUACCCUACCACUAAGCUACAUCCCCAGCCCUAUACAUGAGUUUAAAAUGUGAUGAUGAUAUUUUAUUUUUUUCUAGUCACAUUCAGUGGCAUGGGUGCAGUUGUAGAACAGGGAGACAGAAAAACUGAUAAAACUGGUGACAGCUUUUUAAAGAAUCAAUACCUGCUAAGUGUUAAGCCUUCGUAUUAGCUGAGAACAUGUGCAGUUAGCCCUCCAUAUCUACUGGUUUCACAUCCACAGAUUUAACUAACUGUAGAUUGAAAACAUAUUUAAGAUUACAACUGUGCGUGUAUUAAACAUGUAAACACUCUUUUCUUUGUUAAUUAUUUCUUAAUAUAGUAUAAAAAUUAUUUACAUAGUGUUUACAUUAUAUUAAGUAUUGUAAGUGAUCUAGAGAUGACUUAAAGUAUAUGGGAGGACAUACAUAGAUUUUAUGCAAGUACUAUACCAUUUAAACAACCACAGGUUUUGGUAGCUGGGGCAGGGCAGGGAUGUGGCCUGAAAGCAAACCUCCUUGGAUCCCAAGGACAACGGUAUUUGACUGUCUUCUUUUUUCAGGUUGAUCUUCACUCGAAAAGGGGUGCUUCGUGUGGAGGGGUUUCUAAGCCCUCAGCAAAGUGACCCUGAUGCCAUGAACUUGUGGAUUCCUUCUUCCUCCCUAGCAGAAGGGAUAGACCUAGAGACCUCAAAAUACAUUCUGGCCAAUGUUGGGGACCAGUUCUGUCAGCUUGUAAUGUCUGAGAAGGAGGCCAUGAUGAUGGUGGAGCCACAUCGUAAGACAUUCUCUUGCUUGUUUCCAGAUACUUUUCAUUGUAAACUGUUUUCUUUCACUUAAAGGAGGGUUAAAGUGGAAGAUGGCAUUUUUCUGUGAAUGAAUUAAGACCAAUAAGUUUUCUUUUUGUAGUAACUAUAGCUGAGGCCUUAACUAUAUCCAGCAGACUUUAUUUUUUCAAGUCUUUGACAAUUAACCAAAAAAAACUUACCAAAAUAAUUUUAUCAUUUUAUAAUCCUACCAGCAAUGUAUAGAGGUUCCUUCCCUGCCUGUCAUUUUUUGUUACACAGGUGCCAUAAGACACAUUUGAAUCCCCAAUUUUAUUUUUAUUUUUUUUAUUUCAAGACAGCACCUUGCUACAUUGCUUAGGGCCUUGCUAAGUUGCUGAGGCUGGCCUCAAACUUGUAAUCCUCUUCCCUCAGCCUCCCAUAUUACUGGGAUUACAGGCAUGUACUGCCAUGCCCAGCUGGUUUAUCCUGAAUAUUUUUAGUUUGCUUUAAACAUAUUUGUAUUAAUAAGUAAUACUCUGGUUUGUGAAUAAAUGAGGUGGACCACCUACCAUAUUUAUACCUAGAACCCACAUAAUUAUUAAGACAUUUAUAGUAGUUCCAUAUCUAUAAGUUACUAUACACUAUCCCCAGACCAGGAAAGACUAUACAUGAAAUCAUGUCCUAAAUUUCAAGAGACAAAUCUUACUUAAAGCUUUCCCCAGGUUAAAAUUUUAUAGUGUCUUAAGUGACAACAUGUAGCAUUAACACCAGGCUAUCAUAACCUGGUAUUACCACAGACCUUUGAAAUGUUAGACAUUCCUCAUAUAUUUUUUUCUCCUCUUAAAAUUAUAGAAGCACAAACUUCAUCCGAGCACAGUGGCACAUGCCUGUAAUCCCAGCAGCUUGGGUAGCUGAGGGGCAAGGAGGAUCACAAGUUCAAGCCAGCCUCAGCAACGGCAAGGUGCUAAGAAAAUCAGUGAGACCCUGUCUCUAAAUAAAAUACAAAAAAUUAGGGCUGAGGGUGUGGCUCAGUAGUCAAGUACCCCUGAGUUCCAUCCCCAGUACUCCCUUCAAAAAAGAAAGAAACACAAACUUCAUGAAUAUUUGAGUUUUAUUACUAGACAGAAUGGUUUGAAUGGGGAUCAGCGAAUCAGGGUCUUUUGCUAGUGAUUAGGAUUAUCAGUGCCAACAUUAUUACUUUUUCUCUUUCCACCAGAGAAAGUUGCAUGGAAGCGAGCUGUGCGUGGUGUGCGGGAGAUGUGUGAUGUAUGUGAAACAACUCUUUUCAACAUCCAUUGGGUUUGUCGCAAAUGUGGAUUUGGGGUCUGCCUUGACUGCUACCGGCUCAGGAAAAGCCGUCCACGGAGUGGUAAGCAAAUAUUGUCUGAUAAAAUUCUAAAGGGAACCUUUAUGUAUCAGUUGAGUUGUGAAACUUGGAAAUUGAAGGAGUAAUCAGCUUGUACUGCUUAGUUCCAUUUGUCUUUGUUGUAAGACCUUAAAAUUUCCAAUGCUCAGUUUAUCUGGGAAGGCUAAAAAAAAAGCCAGGAAGGAUCAUUCCUCAUCUUUCCUUGUUCUGUUUGGUUUUAAAAAUAUCUUUAUUGAAGUAUAAUUCACACCAUAAAAUUUACCCUUUUAAAAUGUAUAAUUAAAUGAUUUAAAUCAUAAGAUUGUGCAACCAUCACCAUUAAUUCCAUUUAAUAUCUUUUAGGAGUCCAUUCACCAUUCCUACCUCCCCCGGCCUUGGCUACCACUAAUUUAAUUUCUAUCUGAAGGUUUGCCUAUUCUGGUCAUAUCAUGUAAAUGGAAUCAUAAAAUAUUUGAUCUUUUGUGACUGGCCUAUUAGCAUAAUGCUUUAAAGUUUCAUCCAUUUGUAGUUCUUCAGUCUUUUUUCUUUUUCAGUACUCAGGACUGAACUCAGAGCCCAUGAGUGCUAGUCAAGAGUUGUACUACUGAGCUACAUCUCCAGCCCUUAAUUUUUUUUUUUUUUGUAAAUUUUUUUUAUAGUAGUGGACACAAUACUUUAAUUUUAUUUUUAUGUGGUGCUGAGGAUCGAACCCAGUGCCUCACAUGUGCGAGGUGAGCGAUAUACCAACUGAGUUAUAACCCCAGCCCCUUAAUUCUUUUUUUGUAUUGCCAAGCAGUAUUCCAUUGUAUCAAUAUAGUACUAUAUUUUUUCUAUCAACUGAUGUACAUGUGGGUUGUUUUCACUUUUGGCUGCUAUGCAUAGUGCCACUGUAAACAUUUGUAUAUAAGUUUUUGUGUGGACAUAUGAGUUGUCUUGGUUAUACACCUAAAAGUGGAAUGACUGGGUCAUAGGAUAACUAUACAUUUAACCUUUUGAGUACCUGGACAUGGUGGCACACACCUAUAAGCCCAGCUACUUGGGAGCAGAAGUUGGUAGAUCUCAUUUUGAGGCCAGCCUAAGCAACAUAGCAAAACCACCUCUCAAAAAAUAAUAAUUGGCCAAGUAUAUUGGCACAUGUCUGUAAUAUUAGUAACUCAGGAGUCAGAGACAGGAGAAUUGCAAGUUCAAAGCCAGCCUCAGCAACUUAGGCCCUAAGCAACUCAGUGAGACCCUGUCUCUAAAUAAAAUGAAUAAAAUAAAAAUUGCUGGGAUGUUGUUCAGUGAUUAAGCACCCUAGCUCCAAUCUCUGGUACCAAAUUGAAAAAAAGAAAAGAAAACAGGAUAACAUAGAUAAAUCAGUUUCAAAUAUUGAGCAUUAGGCAGUGUGGGACUAUGAUACCUGAGAGAAGGGGAGAAUCGGUGGUUCCUGCAAUUGUCCUAGCUUAGUACCUAGGGCCAUUUUCCAGGCUGUAACCCUGGAAAGGGAACUAAAACGGAAUCUGGCAACCUCACUACAUUGAGACAGAGGUCAGAGUCUGAGAAGAAUAAGCGUAGGACUGAAGAGAAGGGAGCUGCAGAGAGAACAUGAGGAAUCUACAGAGGUCCCUUCAAUUUUUUGUCAUAUACUGAUCUGCACAUGCAUGAGAUGAAACUCCUCAAGGCCUAAGAAUGAACUUUUAGUAAACAACUGAGUAAUUUGUAGACCUUACAAUUUGCAUUCCCAUCAACCAGAGUUAAGGAGAUACUUGGUAGAGUCCAAAAGAAUAACACCUUAAUACUGGACUUAAUAUAGCGCCAGAAUGAAAACUUCUCUGGACCUGCCAUAGGAAAGUGUAAAACAAGCCUCAGAAGAAUCAAACUGACAUGCAAGUUACUUAACUACACUAGAUUAAAGCCCAACAUCUCUUUUUAAGAGAUUACAAUAAAAUCAGUGCCCAGAAACAUAAAAGUCACAAAUUCUUUAUUUAGUUUUAAUUAUCAGAUUUGUAAAACCUGGGCAUAGUGAUACGUGAUUGUAAUCCCAGCUAUGGCAGGAGGAUCACAAGUUUGGGACUAGUUGGACAACUUAGCUAGACCCUGUCUCAAAUUAAAAAAAAAAAAAAAAAAAAUUAAAAGGAUUUGGGUUGUAGCUCAAUGGUACUGGUGGGGAGAAUUCAUAUAAUUCAAAAGAAGUCAAGAAAAAUGAAACUAAAAUAAACUGUAACAAAUAGAAAACAGCUUUAUAGGAAACCUACUUUAAAUGUGAAGACACAGUUUAAAAGUAAAAAAGACGGAAAAUUAUAUCCAUGGCUAACAUGACUUUAAAGAAGUUAACUGUGAGUAUCAGACAAGGUACACUUUAAAGCAAAUAAAUAUUAGUAAGUAUAAUGUAGGUCAUUUCAUAAUAAUAAAGGAAGAGCAAAUAAAUAUUAGUAGGUAUAAUGUAGAAAUCAGUUCAUUGACAAGAAAAUAACAGAGCUGGGGUUGUAGCUCGGUGAAAUUAGACAACAUGCUGUAAAUAACCCGUAGGUCAAAAAACAAAUCACAAGAGAAAUUAGAAAAUGUUUGAAAUGAAUGAAAAUAAGAACAUCCACAUUGUGGUAUGCAGCUAAUGCGGGGAAUUUUAUCACUAAACGCCUAUAUUAGAAAUGUCUCAUUUGCCUAAAGAAACUAGAAAAAAUGAAAAUAUGCAGUUUACCAGUAUUAAGAAUGAGAUGAUGAGGGCUAGGGUUGUGGCUCAGUGGUAGAGUGCUCGCAUGCACAAGGCACCCGGUUCGAUCCUCAGCACCACAUAAAUGUAAAAUAAAGAUAUUGUAUCCACCUAAAGCUUAAGAAUAAAUAUUUUAAAAAAAUAUGAGAUGACCUCACCACUAAUCAAUCAGACAUUAGAAAGGAUAAUGAAUAAAAUUAUGAACUUUAUGUCAAUAGACUUGAUAAGAAAUAUAACAAAUUCCAUGAAAGAUACAAACCAUCUGAAUUCUCUUAAGAAGAAAUAGAUUACCUGAAUAACCUUAUUUUAAGCAGUUGAGGCUACUCACCUGUAUUUUAAGAAAUUAAGGCUAUUGGGGCUGGGGUUGUGGCUCAGUGGCAGAGAGCUUACCUAGCAUGUGUGAGGCACUGGGUUCAAUUCUCAGCACAGCGUAUCAAUAAAUAAAAAAUAAAAAUAAUAAAAGUCCAUUGACAACUAAAAAAAUAUUUUAAAAAAAGGAAAUUAAGGCUGAAAGUUCAAGGUCAAGCUGGGCAACUUAGGCCCUGUGAAACUUAGUGAGACCCUAUCUUUUUUUUUUUUUAAUAUUUAUUUCUUUUAGUUGUACACAAUGCCUUUAUUUUUAUUCAUUUAUUUUUAUGUGGUGCUGAGGAUCGAACCCAGGGCCUCACACAUGCCAGGCAAGCGCUCUACUGCUGAGCCACAACCCCAGCCCCAAGACCCUAUCUUAAAAUAAAAAAUAAAAAGGGGUGGUGAAUGUAGCUCAGUAAUAAAGCACCCCUGGGCUCAAUCCCAAGAGAGAGAAAAGAGGAAAUACAUUACCUGAAUAAACUUAUUUUAAGAAGUUGAAGCUACUUAGGAGGCUGAAACAGAAGGAUUGCCAAGUUCGAGGCCAGCCUGAGCAACCUAGCAAGACCCUGUCUCAAAAAUAAAAUGGGUCCCUAGGUUCAGUCCCAAGUAGUGAGUAAGGGAGGACAAAUGAAUUUGUAGUUUAAAAAAACUUCCAAUGAAGCCAGGCGUGGUGGCACAUGCCUAUAAUGCCAGCGUUGAGGGAGGCUGAGACAGGAGGAUCACAAGUUCAGAGCCAGCUCCAGUAACAGCGAAGUGCUAAACUAAACUCAAUGAGACACCCUGUCUCUAAAUAAAAUACAAAAUAAGGCUGGGAUAUGGCUCCGGGGUUGAGUGCCCCUGAAUUCAAUCCCUGGUACCCACCCCCACCAAAAAAAAAAAAAAAAAAAACUUCCAAUGAAGAAAACUUAUGGCCCAGAUGGUUUUACUGGUAAGUUAUAACAAACAUUUCAGAAGGAAAAUACUAUCAAUUGUACUCACACUCUUUCAGAAAAUAGGAGAAAACACUAACUCAUUUUAUGAUGUUAGCAUUACAACACAUUAAUACCACAACCAGAUGAAGAUAUAACAAGCAAGGAAACUUAGAGCCCCCAAUAUCUCUCAUGAGUAUAUAUUUAACAGUUAAAAAUCAAUCAAUGCAAUUUAUUAUCAGUAAACACUAAACAUAAUUAUUUCAAGAAAUGCAGGAAAAAAACAUUUCUCAAGAUUCUCAACAAACAGCAGUGGUCAUGGCCAAGUGGUUAAAGUGAUGGACUAGAUUCUCAACAAAUUAGGUCAUGUAUUCUCAAAUGGUGAGAAUUGGUUCUUUCAGGAGAAGGGGAAUCUAAGAAGUUACAGGUUGACUAACCCUAAUUCAAUACCCUUGAGACAAAAAUGUUUCCAAUUUUAGAUAUUUUUAAAAAACAUUUUGUAGUGUUUACCAUAGACCUUACAGAUUGAACAUUCCUAAUCUGAAAAUCUUGAAUCUGAGAGCUGGGAAUAUGUGGUAGAUCCUCGCGUAGUAUGCAUAAAGUCCUGGAUUUGAUUCCCAGCAUUGAAAAAAAAAAGAAAGAAAAAAAACCUCUGAAAGUCCAAGAAAUUUUGAGCACACAUAAAGUUUCAGAUAUGGUUGCUUAACAUGUAUGACAAUGGUUCAUGCCUGUCCAGAGGACCACAGUACAUAAGCAGACAUAUUGUAUAUGUGGUAUUAAAAUCGUAGGAUGGCAAGCACAGUUUAAAAAAAGAAAAAAAAAAGCUUAAAGGGGCUGGGGAUGUGGCUCAAGCGGUAGUGUGCUCGCCUGGCAUGCGUGCGGCCCGGGUUCGAUCCUCAGCACCACAUACAAAGAUGUUGUGUCCGCUGAAAACUAAAAAUAAAUAAAUAAAUAUUUAAAAAAAAAAAAGCUUAAAAAUGUUCUUUGAAAGGAUGAUAAAGUUAGAAAAACACUCCAGUGUCAGUAGGAGCAUCAUACAUAAUUGGAAAGACUGGAAAGCAAGGAUGUCCACUUUCAGAACUCCUUGUCAUCAUCAUUGUGCUGGAAUGAUUAGUAUAAAGAAAUAAAAGACAUAAGAUUGGAAAAAAGUAAAAUGAUUAAUCUCACAUGGAAUGAUUAUGCAGAAAAUCCUAAGAAAUGUAUAGAAAAGUCAACCUACAGAAAUCUGUUUAUCUUAUUUCUAUGUGAUGGCAGUCAACAUUUAGAAAUUGAAAUUUAAAUCAAUAUCACUUAGAAUAGCAUCAAAACAUGAAGUGAGCUGAGCACUGUGGUGCACACCUGUAAUCCCAGCGACUCAGGAAGCUGAAACUGGAGGAUCCCAAGUUCAAAGCCAGAUUCUGCAACUUAGCAAGACCCUGUCUCUAAAUAAAAUAUAAAAAGGUCUGGGGAUGUGGCUCAGUGGUUAAGCACCUCUAGGUUCAAUCCCUGGUACAAAAAAAAAAAAAACAAACAAACAUGAAAUGGGGCUGGGGUUGAGGCUGAGUGGUACAAUGCUUGCCUGAGGCCAAUCUCCAGCACCACACACAAAAAAAAAAAACACCUUAGGGAUAAAUGUAGCAUAUCCAUAGAAGACAUAGAAUACCUAAGUAAAUGGAGAUAUGUACUAUAUUCAUGUACAGAUUGAAUACAAAGAUGUCAGUUCUUCUAAAAUAAUGUAUAAUUGAAAACAAUUCAAAAUCAAAAACCCAGUGGGUGUUUUUGUAGAAAUUGAUAAACUGAUUCUAAAAUUUAUGUGAUGGAGAAUGAUAUUGGCUAAAUUAUAUUGAGUGCAUGUACAAAUUAUACACAAUGAAUCUCACCAUUGUGUAUAAUUAUAAUGUACUAAUAAAAAUAUGGGAAAGAAAUGACACAUAAAUAAAUAAGUAAAGUUUAAGUGAAAUGCCAUAGGGCAUGGAAUGGUGGUCCACACCUUUAAUCCCAGUGACUCGAGGCUGAAGCAGGAGAAUCACAACUUCAAAGCCAGCCUGGGUAACUUGUGGGACCCUGCCUCAAAAAAUAAAAAGGGUUGGGGAUGUAGCUCAGUGGUAAAAUGCCCGUGGGUUCAAUCCCCAGUACUGCCUAAAAUUGUAUGUGAAAUGCAAAACCUAGAAUAACCCAAACAAAAAAAGAAAAAACAGAGUUGAAGGAUUGUCCUGUGCUUCAUUCCAAGACUUGCCAUAAUGCUGUAAGUAAUCAUUAUAAAAAAUACUGUAAGUGGACUAUAGUCCUAAAUUUAAAGAUUAAGGUGAAGAAAGUAUUUGUGUUCUUGAGUUAGACAAAUAUUUCUCAGGACAUGAAAAGCAAAAAAAAAAGAAAAAAUUUAAUAUCAAAUUUUAAAACUUGUUCUUCAGGGGCUGGGGCAGUAGCUCAGUGGUAGAGUGCUCACCAGGCAUGCAUGAGGCACUGGGUUCGAUCCUCAGCCCUACAUAAAAAUAAACAAAAUAAAGGCAUUCUGUCCAUCUACAGCUAAAUAUAUAUAUAUAAAAGUUGACUUUAAAAAAAAAAAACUUGAUCUUCAGAAGACACUGUUAAGGAAAUUAAAUGAGACCACAGACUGGGAAAAAAUAUUUAUCAAUCAUAUUCACUAAAGAAUUUUGUCUGUAAUACCUAAAGACCUCUCACAGCACAAUAACAAGACAACCAAGUUUUAAAAUGAGCAAAAGAUCCAAAAAGGAAGAUCAAGGGGGCUGGUGGUAUUGGUGGAGUGCUUGCCUAGCAUGCACAAGACCCUGGGUUCAAUCCCUAGCACCACACACAAAAAAAAUCAACCCCACAGUAGUAGCUCACACCUGCAAAUUCCAGCUACUUAGAAGGCUGAGGCAGAGUAUGAUGAGUUCGAGGUCAACCUAGGCAAUCAUAUGAUCUAGCUUCACUCUCUUAGGUUGUUAACAAAAGAAAUGAAAACAUGCCUAUACAAAGACUUGUACAUGCAUGUCUAUAACCACUUAUCUCAUUAUAGCUUGGAAGCAAUUCAAAAGUCUACUAAAUGAUAAAUAGAUAAGGAAAUUGUUAUAUAUCUAUACUUUAGAAUACCACCCAAAGAGAAUGAAGAGCUAAGGAUAUAGUUCAGUGGUAGAGUGCUUGCUCAGCAUAUUCAAGGCCCUGGGUUCAACUUAAAAAAAAAAAAAAAGAAUUACUGGUACAAACAAUACAGAAAUACAGAUGAAUCUCAAAAGUGUAUGCUGAGUAAAACCCAACACAAGUGACUACAUCCUGUGUGCUUCCAUUCAUAUGAAAUUCUAAUAAUAUAAAACUUUAGUAUUAAAAAGUGGAUCAGUGAGGGGCUGAGGUUGUGGCUCAGUGGCAGAGCACUUGCCUUGCACAUGUGAGGCACUGGGUUCAAUCCUCAGCACCACAUAAAAAUAAAUAAGCAAAAUAAAGAUAUUGUGUCCACUUAUAACUAAAAAAAAAAAAAACUGGAUCAGUGGCCAGGUGCAGUGGCACACUCCUAUAAUCCCAUUGGCUUGGGAGGCUGAGGCAGGAGGAUUAGGAGUUCAAAGCCAGCCCCAGAAACUUAGCAAGACCUUAAACAACUUAGUGAGACCCUGUCACUAAAUAAAAUACAAAAUAGGGCUGAGGAUGUGGCUCAGUGGCUUGAGUUCCCCUGAGUUCAAUUCCCCAUACCCGCGCCCCCGCCCCCCCAAAAAAAAUAAAAAGGUAGGAAGGAAAAUGGAUCAGUAGAAGCUAAAAUUCAACAAAGAGUAUUAGCUCAAGAUAUAGGAUAAAAGUGUUCUGUAUCAUGAUUGUGACAGAGUUUGUACAACUGAAUGAAUGUUUGUUGAAACUCAUUGAGGCACACAUUUUAAAUUGUUGGUUUAUUUUAUAUAAAUUAUAUCAGAGUAAAGCAGGUGUUUUUAAAGUUAGCUGUUACCUUCUUUCACCAUGAGAAAAUUUACCUUUAAGUUUUUGAAGCUUUGUCUCACUAAGAGGGAUCCAUCUUGUGAGCCUAAUAAAAUAAAUGAAAUCAUUCGUUUCUGUUUCAGAGACAGAGGAGAUGGGUGAUGAAGAGGUUUUCUCCUGGUUAAAGUGUGCAAAGGGACAGUCACAUGAACCAGAGAAUCUCAUGCCCACACAGAUCAUCCCUGGCACAGGUAAGGAAAUUUCUUUUU
Molecule: long non-coding RNA, 52917 nt
Filed under: Marmota monax (woodchuck)
Lineage: Eukaryota; Metazoa; Chordata; Mammalia; Rodentia; Sciuridae
Rfam family: tRNA (bases 33886-33956)
Source: RNAcentral